This 56283-nucleotide long non-coding RNA is filed under the name Gossypium barbadense (sea-island cotton). RNAcentral describes it as "long non-coding RNA (GBAR_LNC003909)". Lineage: Eukaryota; Viridiplantae; Streptophyta; Magnoliopsida; Malvales; Malvaceae. The record is from RNAcentral.
ACAGUUUGUUUUUUGGAUUGAGAACAUACAAAUAACCUUUGAACAUUAGCGUUUCAAGAAUGUUCUCAUCACAACAAGGUGGUUUUGAAGAAACUGGGUAAUUCAAUAAAGACAAAGUGAAGACAAAAUAUGCUAUAUGCUUGUGUAGAGAACAUCAAAAAAACUAUGCCAUGUCAUAUAAAAUAAAUUAAUAUGCUACAUGAAAAGGCUUGCAUCACAAUAGCACACAUAAGCAUAGUUUAAAGAUGACAUAAGACUCAAAAAGACUCUUCAGACCAAAGUUUUAGGGGUAAUAUGCGUCUUUUGAUGUGCAAGAGAAUGUAAGAAUUUAGGUGCAUGUGUUUGUACUGAAUUUGUCAACAGGCAUCACUCAACUAAAAUCAGAUAAUUUCACAUAUUGAAUUCCAAAUAUUCUAUUCUACUUGUAUCCAUUUGGAUAAACAAUUGAAAUAAACUGGUCAUUGUUUAUAUUCAUCUUGCACAGAGGUGGCAACAUCUAAUCCCUUUUAUUUACCAGGACAGGCAUUUCCAUGUCAACACUUCAAAUAUCAAAAAGAGACCAAGUUAUCAUCUAAAUCAAGACAAAAAGUACAAAAUAGAAGAAAUGGGUUACCUUUAUAUCAGCAAAAGCUUGUGAAAUUGGUUCCUUGGAAUUCAAGAAUGAAAAGGAACAUAGAGAGCCAGUAAAAUUGACAACACCUACAACAUCUUUCUGGCUGCAUGCUUCACAAAUUUAAACAAUUAUUAAACGUUAGUUUUAACAGUAUAAACAACAUGAAAAGACAAUCAAGUUCAAAAUAGAAAAGGCCAGAUCACCUUCAAUGUACAUAUCCUUCAUAAAUGGUAGAAGCAACUCAACUUCAUGCAAACCCUCUGUGGUGCAUGCUUCAUCAUUAACAACCUAAACAAUAGGAUAGCAUCAGAAGAAAUUACCAGUUCAAAGGUGAAGGAAUUAUUCAAGAAGUAAUGGAUAUUGUUCCAUAAUUAUAAAGAUUAAUGAAUAAGAUGCCUGGACAUUUAAGAGGUUGAUUAGAGCAAUUCUCACCAGGUUCCCAUCAAUCACAGCUUUUGCACCUCGCAGCUCUUUAACGUAAUUAGAAAUUCCAUUAUAGAGAACAUCAACAAGCGUCUCAGAUUUUGAUGUUUUCUCUUGAUAAAUUGGCAGCCUGAGUAACAUAUACCUUUGUUGUUCAAAAAUGACUAAAGACAUACUUUUGAUGCUAAAAUAGCUAGCAGGAAAAUAUCAACAUAUGUAUCAACUAUCAAGAGAAGCAACAAUGCAAAAGUGAAACCAAGUUCCAAAUUAAGCAUAGCUAUAUGGUAGCCUAAUACUUUAGCAAAAAGACUGUAAAGAAGUUAUGAGGAAGCAGGCAAUAAGAGAUGCUAAUGAAAGUUUGGUGAACCCAUAUGGAAAAAAGAACAAAUUCAACAGGAAUUAUCAAGCCAAACAAUAGAAAUCUGGGAUGGGAAAGAAGUUUGAGAAAUAGAUAAUAGUUACCUAAGAUCAAAAUUGUACAAGCACUUAAAAGUUUGAAGAGAAGUUAAGACCCUCCCCAUUUUGAAGUCACAAGGCCGUAAGCUGCUUGACGUAAUAUUUGAUGACAGUGUACAAUUCCGACAUGUCCAUCUACCAAAGAAGUGUAAUUUUGAGGUCAAAAUAGAAAUUUAACUUUAACAACUGAGGAAUAUCAAACAUCAAUAACAAAUAACGAGUACAGAUACAGUUCUUGUAAAGUACCUCCUUGGGCUAUAACAUAUGUGAAUAAGCAAUCUUUCAUCAAGGUCAUCCUCCAAAGUGGAAGCUGCUUCAGCAACUCCCUUCACAGUCUGCAAAAACCAUUAGAUUUAUUUCAGAUCAUAAAUAGGUGAAACCAAAACUUUACUCCUAACGAAAACAUGCCAAACUUCAAUAAAAAUGAAGCAAAGAUAAAGUGAAACACCUGGCAAAGCACCAUGGUCGAAUUCUUGAAAGCGGACUCACUUGCCCACACAUAAAUACCCACUACUUUGAUUCCACCCACCAUCAUUCUUGACACCUUGAUUCAACAACAUUUACAUAAUUUAAGGGAAAAAAUUCGAAUUCAGUUCACUAAUUCAAAGUAAACAAAUAAAUGAAUGAAUAAACGCACUUGGCGAGCAUGUUCAGCGACCCAAUCCUUGUCAAUGACCAAAUUAGAGGAAGAAUCAGACGUCUGAGAUUUGGAUUUCGAUCCUUUUUUCUUGUUGUCUUUUGCUGGCUCCAAAACCGAACAAGCUGGUUGUCCGGCGUCGUUUUGAGGAGUGGGUACUAAAUCGAACACGAAGCCGCGGUCCAGAGCGGAGUUGAGUUUCCCUAUCACCAGACCAACCUGCAUUUAAACGGGCAAAAAGGAAUUUAACAUGAAAUUCUUCAGAAUUCAUCGAUCUCUGUAAUUUUGUUUCAACGAGAAAACGGAAUGGACCUGAGCCGGUUCUGAAGAUCGGGAGAGACGAUCCUCAGCUAGCUGGAGUUGGCUUUCUUCUCCGACCACUGCUUUCACCAUGUUUGUUUGACUUCAGUGAACAAACAGAUCGAAGUCGAGCCACCUGGGAUUUCAGAGCUUAGCAAUAAGAACCGGCGAAGAAAUCAUGAGAAAGAAAACGGCGUCGUACUGCCAUCAUGGACUUGCAAAUGGGCUUUUGGUUAGGUCUCUCUUGCUUUGUUUGAGGACAUUCGAAAUGGGCUUCUUUUAGCCAUUGUGCUUUAUAUGGGCAUAAUCAUCAUUUCAUAAUUUUCUUCUUUUCUCUUAGGCCCUUGUAAAUAAUUUUAUAUUUAGGAAUCCUUUUUAGCUAUUAAAUAUGUUACUAAAUACAUAAACAAAAAAUUAAUGCAUUAACCUUGGUAUUACAAAGUUUAGUCUCGUUGACCUAAAUGAAUGUACGAAUUCACAUGUGGAAUUAGGGGAGUUAGUGGGUAAGUUUCGCGAGUCUCGUCUCACUUCAAAUUCAAUUGGGUUGAGAUUGAUAUAAAUUUCGGUGAUGGUGAGGUAAGGAUGGGACAAAAGUUAGACUCUUCGUGGGUGGUAAGGUAGGUGUGGAUAUGAUCUUGUACCUGUCUCAUCUCUACCCGCCAUUUAUAAAAUUAAAAGAAAAAGGAGAGCACUCCACAGUUCUUACCCAAUUUUAGCACACCUCACUCAUUUAGUUUCUCACUUUCUCUGUUUUACAUAAAAACUCUAAAAUUACUCAUUAUUGCUCCACGCCGCAACUUGCAAAUUUAAAACUCCUGUUUAACUGAUACUUAUAAAUAUAUUGUAUGGAGUGAAUUGCGGGACCCUAAAAUAUUUGGGGAAGAUAUUUAUAUAUAGUUUAUGUUUACAUGUCAAAUGCGUAUUAAAAUAAUUAAUGAAUUUUAGUGUUUGGCCGUUUUUAAACUUAUCCACAUUAAAGAUUUGAGUCACAAGAAUUUUCUACUCAUAAUGAAGGUUAAUGGUUUCCUGUUGUUAAUAUCAAAGGGAAUGGAAUGAACAAAUACAUCUAACAUUUAUAGAUUAGGCGGUAGUAUUAUUUAAAUUUUAAUAUUUAUAAUAAAGGAGGAUGGGUCUAGACCAAAUAUGUCAGGAUUUUAGUAAAGGUGUUGUUUCAAUUUUAUAAAAUAUCUUUCAUUUAGGUUUUCGUUUUUUAUUUUAUUUUUAAAUUUGUGCUUUUUAUCAAUUUAUUUAAAAAUAAAUAGAGAAGUUAAUUUUUUAACUUUACUGAUGUUGCACCUAUGCGGAUUAUCACGUGAAUAACAUGUAAGUAUUUAAUUAAUUUUAAAAAAAUUCAAAAAAUAUAUAUAAAAACUAUUUUUAAAAAUUAAAAAUUAUUUAAAUUAUUUUAAAAUUAUAAAAAAAAUAUUUUUUUAAUAUUUUUAAAAUUCUAAAAAAAUCAAUUAAAUGUUUGAGGUGUUAUCUAUAUGGCAAUUCACGCAUAUACCAUAUGAGCAAAGUUAACAAAUGUUAAAUUUUUCAUCCAUUUUUUGGGUGAUUUGAUAAAAAAUAUAAAUUUAAAAAUUAGAUGAAAAUAAAAUAAAUGAUUAAAAUAUUUUUUUAUAAAAUUGGAGGAUUUAAAAAAUUAUUAUGCCUUUAACAAAUCCCCUAAUGCAAAAAUAGGUGACCAAAGCUAGAGUUGUCCAUAGGUCGAGCCGGAUGAAGGCUUACCUGAAAAAUUGGAGGGUUUGAGCAAAAAUAUAAGCUUAAAAAAUAAGCUUGGACAAAAAAAAUGCCCAUUUAAAAAAUAUGUUGGGCCUUGAAUAAGAUUUUUUUGGGCCCGACUUGAAUUUUCAAAAAAAAACUAUUAAUUUUCCAUAUUUUGUUGUUAUUUUCUCUUUUUUUACUACUAUUUAACUAUUAUGUUACUCUUAUUUUGUUGUUAAUGUUUGAAUAUUGUAUAAUACUUUUAUUAUUAAUUUUGUUACUAUUUUAGAGGCAUUUACUUGUUAAAUUGCACUUAUUUAUUUGAAUAUAAAAACUUUUUUAAAUUUAUUUUUAAUUUGGUAAGAAAUAUUUAUUUUAAUAUUUCUAAUGUAUUUGGUUUAUUAUAUUUUUUAAAAAAUUUAAUAAAAAAUAAAAUUUAAAAAAUUAGCAGGAAUCAAAUCCAAUUUUUAAUAUAUUUAUCUACACUGAAUUUAAACAAAAAUUUAGAAUCAUCUUCUGAAUCGGGUUGAACUUAAACCUAAUAAUCCGACCUAAAAUUUUGUUAGAGUGAGAGUCGGACCCGACCAUCACAACUCUAGAUCAAAGCCAUUUGAUAAAAAUAAUCCUUAGUCCAAUUUCGGAAUAAAAAACCGUGAUGCAAUAAUACGUGACCGAAACAGAAGUCAUCAUGUUGUCAAAGUGACGAAGACCUUGGAAUAUGGGUUGGGUUAACAAUACGGAGCAAGUUCCAAAUACCAAACUUUCAAGGAAAUAAGAAGGUGAUUUUAAUAUUAAUUUAUGACAACUAGACAAGCUUUGGAAGAUUGCAGGUUUGAAAUUAUUAAAGUGUGUAAUAUUUUUUUAAAUGAUAGAGUUUUGUUUUGGAAAAAGAAAAUUGAAAGACGUAUUUAAAAAAUGGGAACGGUAGGAGUUGGUGGAAAAGAAACAAGUAUGGGAAAAUGCCGAAGCAGAAUAUUUGUUUUUAAAUCCUGCAAAAAUAUCAAAUAUGUACGAAAUCAACCCGACCAAAGCUGAGAUGAGAAACAUAAAAAGCAGGGGGUGAAAAAGUGUUUUCAAAGUCCCUUAGGUAAACAUUAUGAUACCUACCAAUGAUUAACCUUAUUAUUUUUCCUUUUUAACUUUCUUAUAUUUAAUAAUCAUAUUAUAUUAUGUCUUAAUUAAAUUUAAAAUUAAAAUUUAAUCGAAAAGUAAAAUCUUCCUAUACCAUAUUUUUAUUUACAAAAUUCCAUUUAAAUAAUAUUAAAUUUCUAAUACUUGACUCAAUCAAUAUACAUGCCCCUACUAAAUUUUAAAACCAUGGAUAAUUUCCACUAUUUUUCCUUUUUGAUUAUGUAUUCUAAUAAUUUUGGUUUGUUUUGGCAGCAUAUUAGUAUUACCAGAUGGGUCCAGUAACAGCUACACUGCAGCGGCAGACCAAAAGCGAAUCCUUCCCGCUGCUCCAUAAACUUUCACCAACAAUACAAUCAAAAACUAAUAAGUCGACGAAAACCCGAAGGCUUUUGCUGUUUGUCGUGUCUCCGCAGUUGAUUUCUUUCCGCCCACGGGUUUAACCAAUAUAUCUAAUUUUAAACAUCAUUACUGACAUCGAAUCUAAUGAUGAAGGGUUUUUUUUAGAGAACAGAUAAAAUUAAAAUUUAAGUAUUUAUAUUCACUUUUUAAGAAAUUUUAAACUUUUGUGUAUUCUUCUUUAUCCAGCCGUCGUUGAUGUCUAAUAAAAAAUUGCAUUAAUAAUAUGUUUAAAUAAAAAUUUUGCUUUAAUUAUAACACUUUUUCAAUUACAUAAUUUUUAUUAAAAUAAUAUUAGAAUUAUGAUUCUUAAAUUUUAUUAUACGUGUAUGCAUGUAAAAAUUAUGUAUUUAAAACAUAAAUAUGUGUUUAAAAAUAACGUACAAUAAAUAAUAUAUAUGAUUAAUGAAUGUAAUAAAAUGUGCAUAAUAAAAUUAAAAUACAUAAAUAAAUUAAAAUGAAGUUUUGAUUUAGUGGUAAAUUUUUUAAAAAAUUUAUGUAAUUGUUAUGGAUUUAAAUCAUACAAUAUGCAUAUUUUUAUUGUUUUUUAAAUGAAAAAACUAAAGUAUCCUCAAAUAAUAUAAAUUAUUUUAAAUUAAGAAGAUCAUUUUUGUAAUUCCUUAAUUGAAAUAGUAUUCGAUUGACUCGUAACACUAACUUAAUCAGAGAUUUUAUUAAUAAUAUAAAUUAUGCAAUUGUUAUUCUUUAAAUAUUUAAAUUUAAAUUUUUAUUUAAUAUUAUAUUUACAACUGUCACUCUUUCUCUUAUCUUUUUUUUUUCUCAUGAUCUUCCAUCCAUGCAAGGAGUGAUGAAAAUCCGUAGAGCCUAGUGAACCACUAUAGUAAAUUGUAGUUAUCAGAGUAAUUUUGUAAUCCUAAGGAUAGGAUUAUCGAGAGUUUAAAUUCUUUAUGAAUCUACCGUAUAGAUAGGUUUGAAUUUGAGUCAUUAAUGUAAUUUAAUUUGUAUUAUUGGAUGUUGGGGGCUCAACUAUAGAAAAGGAAUUUCCCACCUCAUUUCUAAUCAUUUUUCACUUAGAGUAAUUAAAUUGAGAGCAUUCACUUUAAAAGCUUUAUUAAGCAUUUUUUACUUUCUCACUUGUUCCGUCAAUUACUUUUUACCAUUGGUGACUCAGAAAUCUUUUGAGAUUAUCAUAUUUCGAGGGUUCAGGUUAAAUUAUGCAAAUUUGAAGCGAAUUCACCGCUUAAGGUCACGCAGUUUCCCAGGCUAGGUUCAUUAAAGUGCCUUAGUUGAGAUGACAAAUCAAACAGAUUGUCAACAUAUCUCACUAGAGACCCAUGGGGGAAAAGAAAGGUAGCAAUUCAAGGGAUAUUCUGUCGGCGAUAAAUGGAAGAGUUUCCAAACUCAAAGAAUCCAUGGUUGAUGUUAAGAAAAGCCUUGAGGUGGUUGAAGUUCGCAUCAUAGAACUGGACUCUAUAGGAUGAGCUUAAGGAGCAAAUACAAGAUACACCCAAUGUCAUUGUGGUAGAGAUGUAAAGGACUCUUAACUCCAUUGUGAAUAUGCUGACCUAGAGGGAUAAUGCUCUCGAAGCCAUGAUGGAGGCUUUGAAGAAAUAUGUGGAAUAGCUCGAGGGGGAACUUGUUCUAUGCAAAGCAAUUGUGGGUAAUAGAGUGUGAGUCGAGACAUACAAACAUAAGAUUGACGUCCCUAAACUGAAAGAGUUUAAGGGGAUCAGGUUUAUAUAUUUAAUUAAUGUUGCCCUUUUGUGGUGGUGGUGUAGUGCACAAACGAAAACUGAGGUGGCAUCAAUAUUAGGACUUGGGUGCAGGUUUAGAAAUAAUUCAAUGAAUAGUUUUACCUUGAGUAUGUUAAAGAUGAGGUUUGGGCUAAGUUGCGACGACUUCUGCAACAAGGCACUAUUUGGAGUUUUGUGAAUUAAUGAUCUAGAUAUUUGGCUAGCAUGAGAUAAAUACAUUUUUCUCUUUCUUGGAUAGACUAAGACCUUAGGCUAAGCUUGAGUUACAGUGAAGAGGUGCCCAAGAUCUUACCAAAGCUAUGACGACAGUUGAGUCCUUGAUUGAGCUUGAUAUUAAAAAGGUCAAGUUUGAAACUUAAUAAGCCAAGGUGAAGGGCAAUGGUCGAGGAGAUCAAUGACAAUCCAAGAAUGGUAGUGUGAAGUCACGGGCAAGGAAGUUGAAGUCUAAUAAGCCAAUCGAUUAAAAAAAAAUAACGAGCUAGUGAAACGCUUAUUUACGUGGUGGUUCGCACAAGAUGUGAGACUACCAAAAGCGAGCCAAACUUACCGCCAUUUAUAAGGAGGAUGUGGAGCCAAUGGAUGAGGCUUUGAUUCUUGGUUCUUUAGUGCUAAAUUUUGCCAAGGCAAAAAGGGGUUGAAAGUAGGAAAGGUUGAUGUUUAUAAACAUACAUCGCAGGCAAACAAAAGAGUGCUUUUGUUUUAAUACUUAAUUAUUGUUUUCACUUCAUUCAAAUAAAGCAACCUAAAAAUCAAAUUAAUAUUAAUAUUUUAUUUUUUAUUAUAAUUCUCACUAUUACCAAUAACUCCCCACCCUUACCCUAUGUUUCGGUAAAUAAUUAUAAAGGAAAAGAAAUGAAAUGAAGGUUUAAAAAAAGGUUAUGAUGCAUGUUUAUUUUGUUAAAUAGAUAAAAUUAGUAAAGCACUUUGGAAAGCGAAAGAAAUGUUUGAUUAUUAUAAAAAAAAAUGCCAAUUAUAUUCUUUUUAUAAAAUAACUCAUGUAAAAAAUUAAUAGGAUUAAAAAAAAGUAUAAUUUCGCGUUUAAAAAGUAACAUUACUUUUUUUCCAUAGUUUUUCUCCCAAUUUGAAGUAAAUAAAACUGUGUAACUUGGGAAAGUAAGGGAAAUUCAACUCUCUUUUGCUUUCCAUUGCCUAAAUAAAAGAAUCAAUUGAAUCUCAGAAAUAACUUGCGUUCAAAUCAUUGUUAUAUAAAAAAAAAACAAAUUCAAACAAGAAAAAGUUUUUCUACUUUCCUCAAAAUGUUAUUUUUUUUUGUAUGUCUAAAGUUUUUUUCAUGUGAUGUCAAUUGAGUUAGGGUUUAAUCCGUUAUAUUUUUUGGGUAUGUCUAGGGCAAAUAGUUACUUAUUUUCCUCAAAAUGCAAUAUUUUUGGGUAUGUCGAAAGUUUCCUUCAUGUGGUGCCAAUUGAGUUAAGGUUUAUUCUGUCAUAUUUAUUGAUAUGUCUAGAACGAAAUCCUCAAAAUGCUUCUUAAGUAUGUCUAAAGUUUACUUCAUGUGAUAUAAAUUAAGUUAAGACUCAAUUUAUCAAAUUUAUUAAAUAUAUCUAAAGAAAAAGGUUAAGUUAAGACUCAAUUUAUCAAAUUUAUUGAAUAUAUCUAGAGGAAAAGGUUUUUUUCUUUCCUCAAAAUGCCAUAUUUAUUUUGAUAUGUUCAAAAUUUCCUUCAUAUGAUGCAAAUUAAAUUAAAGCUUAAACUACUAUUUCUUUUUACGAACUUAUGACAGUCCUCUUAAUUAUGUCAUUUUUUCCUUUCCCUAAAAGGACAAUAUAGUUUACCAUUGUAUCUAUCUUUGUUGGUCAUGGGUAAUAUUAUAUUAUUAAACUUUAUAACAGUAGGGGCAACAUUUAUAAAAGAAACAAAUAAAAUAAUGAAAUAAAAAUAAAUAAAGGCAAAAACAUUUACUUUCACGCUUCUAAAUUAUUUAAUUCCAAUCCAGCUCCAGCUGGGUCCACCACGCCCACAUUGCAAAAGUAAUACUCAAACCUCCAUUCUCCGCUGUUUUUCAUUUUUCAAUGGAACCCUAAAGACUAAUCCCUCAAACCUCACCAAUUUCAUCCCAUGGAAAACUUCUCCUACUCUUCUUAUCCUGAAUCCGGCGAUUCUUCGCCUCGUUCCAGAGAAAUUGAAUGCGAAAAUCAAUCAUGGGACGAGUCGCCCUCCCUCAAUGCUACUAAUAAUAAUGUUAAUUAUAAGGUUAAGUUUAUGUGCAGCUAUGGGGGCAAAAUCCAACCGCGUUCCCACGAUAACCAGCUCGCUUAUGUUGGUGGAGAUACCAAAAUCCUGGUCGUUGACCGCAACAUCAAGUUCUCUGCUAUCAUGGCCAAGUUAUCUUCUCUUUACGGUGGGGAUUCUGAGGUUUGUUUCAAGUAUCAGCUUCCCGGUGAAGAUCUCGACGCUUUAAUUUCCGUUACCAAUGAUGAAGAUCUGGAGCAUAUGAUGAUGGAAUAUGACCGGUUGCAUCGUUCCUUUGCCAAACCGGCCCGGUCGAGGUUGUUUCUAUUCCCGUUGAAUUCGCCGUUGGUGGCGUCAGGAUUUGAAGGGAGUGAACCGAAGUCCGAUAGGCAAUGGUUCAUUGACGCAUUGAAUUCGGUGCAGAUUCAGAAUCUCGAUGCCUCUUCUCCUCCUACUGUGGCGGUUCUGGCGGCAAAUCCCGAUUUUCUGUUCGGAUUGGAUAAGGUGAAUGUGCCGGAUUCUGUUCCUCCGGUUGUGACGGUGGCACAGGAAGUUGUUGCGAGGGAUGUAACGGCGGGAUCAGACUGUGGAUCGGAGGACCAGCAUUUGAUCACGGACCCAAUGGUAUCUCCAGCAGAGAUCCAGAGGCAAAUCCAUGAAUUACAGAGGAUGCAUAUUGCUGCUACACAAGAACAAGGCAUUUUGCAGAGAAAAAUCGAUGAAUCAAAUGCUAGAGCUUACAAUACUCAAGAUUAUUCAAAAAUGUUGGAUAAAAUUGCCACUUCACCGGUACCAGUAUCAACUCCGCUGCAAAUGCCAAUUCAAACGGCGUAUUUAACCUCUGCUGCUUAUUCGAUAUCUGCGACCGCAGCCCCCGCAAACCAACCAGUUUACCUCAUUCCGACUCCUGCAGCCGGAGUUUAUCAACAGCCUCCGACAAUACAACAGGUAACCGUACCAGCUGGUCAACCUUACUACGGGGUACAGCGGGUGGUUCAGGAUGUUUACCGAGAGCAGUCGGUUUACAAUGCGGUUCCAUCCACGAAGUUUGGGGCAUAUACUGAGGGAAUCCAAGUUAUGCAGCCGACGGGUGGGAUGCCUGAAUCAGGAUAUGUACAGGUGGUUUAUGAUGGGGCAGGAAGGCAGGUGUAUUACACGGCGGCGCCAUAUCAAGGAAUGCCACAAAUGGCGGCAUCUGGUAGUGUCCCGGUGUUAAGUCAAGAUGGUAAGGUUGCUGCGAAUGCUAAUGCUCCUCCCCAAACUUCUUCUCUGUGAUUUCAAUUAACAAUUUGUCAGUAUUGUUUUGUUUAUCAAGUUAUAAUUAUAAUAUAGUACUUUGAAUAAGACUGAAUAUUUUUAUAGGCUUUGGUGAAUUCUUCGAUGUCUUAUGGAACUUUUCAACAAUUUAUUUUAAAAAUUUUUGGGUGAUGUUACGUUUGAUAUUGUUUGAUGUGUAUAAGAAAAAUGGAUUUUUCAUAAUGGCUGUAAAUUAAGUUGUUGAUUUCCUGAUUAGUUUAUUGCAAUCGGGCAAGCUCCUUUCAGGUUAAAUAAAUCCUUAAAACCUUGCUGAAAGUAGAAAAGUAAAUAUUUUACAUCGUCUUAACAAGUUCAUUACUCCGAUGUUGUCUGUUCUUUUGGAGAGAAUUACGGUUGAUGCUGAGUGUUAUCUAAUUGAAGUUUUAAUUCAAUGUGUUACUUUGGGAUCUUCAGAAUUUUGGACCUUCUAAGGAUCUGGAUUUGGUUUAUUACUGUAUUUGGGUGGCGUAUAUUUGUAGCUAGUCUUGCUUUGAACAUUCUAAUCAAGUUACCAUGUCCCGACGCAUCCAUAUGAUUUUGUUGUUUCCUCAAAAUGCAUCAUACUUCAUUUAUACAUAUACUUGCUACCUCCCCUACGACGGCUACUAGUAAUUGCUUCCACGCCUCCUUCCAUAACCAGAACCUCUAGUUCUAACACUUACUGCUCCACAUUCCACCGGUGUCGUGUUGUCUGGGGUGGCCAUAUCGGCAUUCGGUAUUAUACGCCUUUUCUCCUCCUAUUCUCAAACUCACGAUUAGAUUCAUGGUUGAUUUUGGAAAGUAACUGAGCAACUGUUGCAGGAACCCAACGCACGCUGUCUGGCACUUAAUUAUUGGAGCUUUUCUCAUUGUUUUUCCAAGCCGUCAUUUAUAAAUCUCUACAAUGACAGUGACUCCACCGUCACCCCCUUUUGUGACUAUCCAUUGGUCUGUUGACGAAAAGUGAGAUGAAGCUUGUUUCCGUAAUGGCAGGUAUAAAUAGAAGUUAAGCAAAGCCACAGCCUUCCCAUAGAGGACUUUACAGCCACCACGAAAUGGCCGUUCAUUCUUGCGGUUAUUAAUCUCAUACCACUAAUUUCUUUCUUUCAAGUAAAACAAUCAUGUAGAGCCACAAUUUAUAGAUAAAUUUGGGGUUUCCAAUAUGAAAUAAAUCUGGACGUGUUUGAACCAUGUUCAGCAUGUAGGAUAUCAUUUGUCGAAGCAAACAAACAUCAACGAAUACAGAAUAAAUGAACUAAUUAGAUUACUCACCCAUAAAUGGCCCGGUCUAAGGUUCCUCUCAACCUUGGCGGUGAAUCUUAAUUGUUGUUUGCCUGCUGCAAGAAAGAUCCAAGCUUAUGGCAACAAUUCGUGCAUCCACUCAUUCUACUACUUGUUCAUUCAUUUAGUUUCGAUGCUGAAUCAAACUUUAUACAGUCUGGGACCUCUUGCCUAAAUGUAAAAGGAAAUUCUAAAGCUCAAAAGCAUCCUUGUACUUUUUACAAGACAAAAUGAUGCGUCGGAUUUGAAAAUUAUCCUGAGAAUUGGGGUGACCCUAUUUGAAGCUUUCAUGAAAUGUUACAUCUCUUUUGCUUGAGAAAGGUUUGCUUGAGAAAAGUGGAGCAUAAAACACUGAUUCUGCGACCUGAAUGUGUGCAUCGUGGAAAAGACAUAACUUGUUUCUUUAUUGCUUUGUUUAUGCUAAGAUGCAUGACAUAUAUUUUUCAUUUAUUCUUAUACUAUGAUGCUUCUUCUGUUGUUAAUAUUAUUAAUGCUGGAUGAUAAUGUGGGAAGCUAGGAUUGGAUUUAUUGGAAAAGCCUAAUGGCUUGGGGUUAGAUGCUCCCUUUAUUUUAUUUUUGUAUUUGACCUGUCUUCCAGUUUGAUUUUAUUAAUGAAAUUGUACUUUUUUAAAGAAAAAAAUUUAGGUUUAGCGUACAAUUAAAAUGUUAGCAUUCAUAUUCAUCAUAUAAACACACAUUAUAUUCAAAGAGAACUGUUCAAAUAAAGAUUUAGAGUUUAGGUUUUCAACUUGCUUCUCUAAAAGUUUGAAAUUAGAUGAGUUAUAUGAAUAAACAUUUGUAAAUUACUGAAUCAAUCACAACAAGUAUAAUGAGACUCGAUAAUUAUAAUAAUAAUAAAUUAAAGAAGAUUUAAAAGAAAAAAGAAAAAAGUGGUAGUUGAGGCCUCUUCCACUUUCUUCCCACCUGAAACUUCCGUUUGGGGAGACAUUCCCCAUCUUCUCCACUUCUUUAAUCUUUUAUCUUUUCUAGCCCUGGCAAUAUUUUUUUAGGUAGAGAGGGUUAAUUAAUGUCCAGUGAUCUUGAUCAAGAUAAUGAUAUGCAUGUAGAAAUAAAAAUACAAUGGUUGUCUAAUCAUUAAGAAAACUAAUAUAUUUAAUGUAAUUUUUAUAUUAAAAUGUAAAUUAUCAUUCCUGACACUGACUAAAUUGAUAAUAACUAAACACGUGGCUAAUGUUUCACAAAUGAUCUUCUUCCCAAAGACAAUAAUUAAGCCCAUGGGUGUGCUUCAAUGUUGUUCUCCAUUCUCUUUUCUUCCCUCUAAAGCUAAGAACCAGGACUUGUAAGUAACAAUAUAAAAUUAUGAAUUCUCAAUGGAACCAACAACCCCUACUACUUGCCUAACGCUUUUGGUUAUUUAUGUUUUAUUAAAUUAUUAUUAAUAUUAGAAAUUUUAUCACACACGUGUAUAUAUAUAUAUAUUAAAUUCAAAAUAUAAUUACUAGUUUAAAAAUAAAUUACAAUAAAAAAAUAAAAUUUAUAAUUUGAAAUUGAUUAAUUAUAACAUUAGAAAUAUGUACAAUACUAUAUAAUGAAAAGAAUUUAGAUUAAAGAAUAUUAAAUGAAUACAAUGAUUUAUCAUUGUAUUGUAUUUUAAUUUGUCAUUCUUUAUUUUUAGUAUUGAUCCAAAUAAAGACCAUUAAAUUUUAAUAUUUUUUAUGAUAAACAUAUUAUCGCGUAUAUAAUGUCAUGUCAAUUUCUUAUUUUCAUAUAAUAUUAAGAGUUACGUUAUUUUAGUGAAUAAAUUUAGUAACUAUCAUUUUAAAUCGUGAUUAAAAUUUCAAAAUUCGAAAAAUGUAAGGAUCAAAAAGAAUUUAAAAAUACAAAUUAAACUCAUAAUUUUUACAUAAUACGAAAUUAAUAGUAAAAUUUGACCGAACAACUUACCACUACUAUUUGAUUAGGAUUAAAAUUUGAUAAAUAUAAAAUCAAAAUUAUUCAAAUUAGAAUAUAAAAAAGAAAAUAUAAAUAACUUACAUCAAUUUAAUGAAGAAAUUUAUAACAGUGUAGAUAAAAGGAUAAGAUUGUUAACUAAAUUAGACCAUAUAAUAUACCAAAAAUAAAUGUGUUGUAAAUAGAGAUUUAUUAUUUGAGCCAUAUUAAACCUUUAAAGAUAAUUAAAUUCUUUUAAAAAAAUUUCUCAUAAAAUAAAUUUUAAUUUCAAGAUGUUAUUUAAGAGAGAUGAAUUUAUUAUUAUUAUUUUUGGUAAAUUAUAAUAAUAAGGUAAAGCUCGUAUAAUAAAUGUGACUACACUUGGACGGAUGAACACCGUUGACCAUUAGAUCAUCAUAUUGGAUUUAAUUUUUUUAUUACUUAACUUAAUAUAUAUAAGUAAUUUAUGGAAAAAUUAAGAUUUCUAAUUAAAUAUUAAUAAGUGGAAAUGUAAUUUCUGUUUUUAGAAUUUAUUUUCGAAAAUGAAAAACAAAAAGGAAAGCCCAAAAGUUGAGUCCAUUAGAUGACUUGUCGGCUGGCACCAGCUAUGCAAAAAGGUAGUAGUCAGUUAGUCACUGCUAGGCGCUAACUUCCUAAAAAUUAAAAAAAAAAAAAUUCUAUUUCAUUUAUCUAUCUUCAUCAAAUCGAAUCCUCCAUCAUAUAUUUUUUUUUCAUUUUAAGAAAUUUAUUUUUACUUAAAUUUAAUAUUUAAAUCAUAUCAUAUGAUUCAAUAAAUAUUUGAUAUAUGUAUUUUUAUAAGUAUUAAAUUAAAAUGAAAUAACUCAUGGACUAAAUUAAAUAUCAAAUAAAAUUCAUGAGCUUAAGUGAAAAACAUUUAAAUAUUAAAAUGAAAAAAAUUAAUUAUCAUUAAAACAAAAAUAUACUAAAUUCAACAUAAAACUUAAGUAGCAGAUGAUAUAUUAAACAUUUCCUUUUUAACUGUAACACUGGAAUGUUAUUUACUAGUAGUGUGGUAGUUUUAAAGCACAAAAGGAAAAGCUAAAAGCUUCGCGCAAACGCUUUGAUUGAUGUUUCCUUUAUCUUAAACUCUUCCCUUUAUUGUCUUUCUCCGUUUAUCCUUCUCUUUGGUGAGAGAGAAAGUGGGAUGCGGAGACUGAGAAAAUCGGAAGAAAAUUAGCGAUGGUGGUCAGAAAAGUAGGGAAGUAUGAGAUUGGAAGAACUAUCGGCGAAGGAACCUUUGCGAAGGUUAAGUUCGCGCAAAACACGGAGACCGGCGAAAGUGUUGCCAUGAAAGUCCUCGAUCGCAGCACCAUUAUCAAGCAUAAAAUGGUCGAUCAGGUCAAAUUUCCAUCUUUUAUGUUACUGGAUAGAAAUUUCGGUAAAUUUAUGAGAAAAAUGUUGAACUUGCAACAAAAUAGUAGUUUUAUUUAUUUUUGUCUACUUUUUUUUUAAUGUAAUUUUACUGAAUCAAAGGUGAAAUCGGUAAAUUAUCAUCGCUCAAAUAGUGGUAAUAGUUAUCAUUUCUUAUAAUUAAGCUUUAUUAUGAUUUGAAAAUUUGAAUUUUUUUUCAAGUUAAGAAUCAUGACUUUUGUUUUCCUUUUAUAUUUAUUAAUUAAUUCAGAUCAAAAGAGAGAUAUCUAUAAUGAAGCUUGUUAGACAUCCUUACGUUGUUCGUUUGCACGAGGUAAGUAAUUUAGUAGCAUCACUAGACUACUGAAUUUUUAAUAUCUCUCACGAUUGGUUGGUUUCUAACAGUGUUAAUUUUUUAUUUAUUAGGUUAUAGCGAGUCGAACUAGGAUUUAUAUCAUCUUGGAAUUCAUUACUGGUGGCGAAUUAUUCGAUAAAUUAGUAUGUAUCUUAGAAGAAAAGAUCCAAUUUUGGUUGCAUUAUCGGGUUUGUUUUAAGGGCGGACGGUAAAUUGGUAAUCUUGCAGGUUCAUAAUGGUCGUUUUAGUGAAGCUGAAGCUAGAAGAUAUUUCCAACAGCUUAUUGAUGGUGUGGAAUUUUGCCAUAGCAAGGGAGUCUACCACAGAGAUUUGAAGGUGUUAUUUUUCUUAACGAUCGAGUUGCUAUUUUUCUUUGAAUGGUUUCAUAAAUUCUGACUUGUUGGCUUCUAUAUACAGCCUGAAAAUCUUUUACUUGAUUCCCAAGGAAAUUUAAAGAUUUCAGAUUUUGGCCUUAGCGCGUUGCCAGAACAAGUAAGAAAUUAAGUGAAGAGUGAAAUUCUAUUUUCGCUUCCUCCCCUGACAUCAAAAUAGGCUGACAGCAAUAUAUAAUGAUAUUGGUUGUUAUUUGAUGACAUGUAUAUUUAGGGAGUUAGCCUACUUCGGACCACGUGUGGAACUCCCAACUAUGUGGCACCAGAGGUAAAAUUACAGGAUAGACAGCUUUUAUGUUGAAUGCGCCUAAUUUAAAUGUUUAUGUUCUGUUGUUGUCUUGCUUAUUAAACCGAUAUUUCAUUUUUGUUGCAGGUUCUUAGUCACAAGGGGUAUGAUGGUGCUGUGGCGGACGUCUGGUCUUGUGGGGUCAUCCUUUAUGUUCUGAUGGCAGGUUAUCUUCCAUUUGAUGAGCUUGAUCUCACCACACUAUACAGUAAGGUAUGUACGUUUUUAUGUUCACUAGUUUAUAUGAAAUUAAUGAAGAAAAUUUUCAUUUUGACAUUAUCAUUUAUCAGUACUGCAUAGCUUUUUUUAAUCUGCAGAUUGAGAGAGCAGAGUUUUCUUGCCCUUCUUGGUUUCCUAUGGGGGCAAAAUCCUUGAUUCGUAGAAUUCUAGAUCCAAAUCCUCAAACUGUAAGUACUUGUUGUCCAACAAUUUUGAAUUGCUUGGGCUGCCUAAUUGCUACAAUAAGUAAUAAGGUUGUAGAAAUUAAUGGUGUGGUUUCAAGUUAUAUGAAAUGAUGCCUAGCUAUCCUGGAAUGCACCAUAAAACCUUUAUGUCUAGCCCGAUCACAAGUAUGCUAUAACCUUUCUGAUGGCUUCAGAGGAGCCAUUAUUUAUUUGGUGUUAGUGUUCUGAUAUCGCUCAUGCAGAACACUUUAUUUUGCAUGAAGGAUUCCAAUUCUGUUCUCAUUUGAAACUAGGUGCAUUGGCACCUAGCACCAUAUGGUAUUCUUUAUAUUGAUAUAUUUGUUUCUGUAAAUAUAAUAAUGGUUUCAAUAUGGCUAGUCUCUUUCUCCCCUUCUGCACAGCGAAUUACAAUUGAGUAAAUCAGGAGUGAUGAGUGGUUUAAGAAGAGCUAUGUUCCUGCCAGACUUCUUGAGUAUGAAGAUAUUAACUUGGAUGAUGUAAAUGCUGUUUUUGAUGAUCCUGAGAUUGAUAAGGUAUUUAACAGCUUUAAUAUAGUUAAAUAUGAUGUAAAAGUAUAAUUUGUGUUUUCCCGACAAUAACUUCAACCAAGUUUCCUUGUAUGCAUGUGCCUAAAUUGAGUGAGUUUGUUUGAAUGUUUCACCGUGAUUCAAACUCUUAUUUCCUAAUAUUAUACUGUAGGAAGAAAGAGGUGAUGAGCCAUCAAGAAAUGAGGAUAUGGGUCCUUUGAAUCUUAAUGCAUUUGACUUGAUCAUUCUCUCUCAAGGCUUGAAUCUUGCAACACUUUUUGACCGCGGGAAGGUAUAGUUCUUUAAUAAAUAGUCAAAAUUGCAUUUCUACCGCUUUUGACCAGUUUUUGAAGGAACUAAUUGUUUUUUAUGGGUUUUUUUUACCAACCAAACAGCAUGCUUGGAAAAGCUGCUCAGUUUUUUGUUUUUGCUUUUUGAUGUUUAGUGCUGUCUGUCUAUGAGCAGUAGUUUACUAUCAGGAAAUCAUAUAUGGCGAUUUCUAAAUAUCUUGAACUUGGGAUAUAUUUCCUUGAGGCAGUCCAAUACAUGUUUUUUCCUUCCAUUCCUCAACUAUAUGAAUGCGUUAUUCUCCCUGUCAGGACACCAUGAAGCACCAGACAAGAUUUGUUUCACGGAAGCCAGCAAGGGUUGUUCUGUCCAGCAUGGAAGUUGUUGCUCAAUCAAUGGGCUAUAAGACACACAUUCGCAAUUAUAAGGUAGAUGACUCGGGCGAUUAACAAUUGCUUAUUUUAGAUUUUGCUCUUUAUUACAAUUUACAUAUGGCUAUUAUGCAUUCUAGUAAGUAAACAAGUUCUCUAGUUCCUUCACAAUUGUUUCAUUCCCUAUGUUUGCCAAUAAUGUCAUCGACUGGACUGGAGAAUAAUCUUGUUAACUCUGGUCAUGUGUUGAUUUUUUCAGAUGAGAGUUGAAGGCCUUUCAGCUAAUAAGACUCCUCAUUUUUCAGUUAUCCUCGAAGAAGGUUUUUGAUCUCAACUCUUGCUAAAUUCUUCAUUAGCUUUUAAAUAAUUUUGUUUUUCUCCCCUAUCCCUUGAUUGCUCCCGGGAAUUUGAAGGUUUUCGAGGUUGCUCCCACGUUUUUUAUGGUAGAUAUUCAAAAGGCAGCUGGUGAUGCCGGGGACUACCUAAAGGUUAGUUACCUUGUUCCACUUGCAUGCCGAGUGCUGUUUAGUCAAGUAAUCUGCUUUUAACAUUCUUUUUCACACGGUUUCUCGGGAUAUCCUUCCGGGUCAGCCUUCCCUCAAUGCCCAUCCCUUCCCCCUUGAAUAUAAUCUCUCUUUCGCUCUCUGUUUUCAUUAGCAUUCGGAUUCGAAAAUAAAAAAUGCACCUUCGUUUCACAGUUCUACAAGACAUUUUGUAGCAACCUGGAUGACAUCAUAUGGAAACCACCUAACGAAUCAAGCAAAUCAAGGAUCAGAAAGUCCAAGAGUAAAAGACGUUGAACAUUGCCCGUAUUUUGAGUCCAUAAUCACUAUGUAUACGUAGGAUUACAAGUUACAACCUCGAGGUUGAAGUUACGGCUUACCUAACCCUUCCAAACUCCUCUGCAACGCCAAAGAGGAACAGGAAAAACAUAUAUGUAUGUAUAGUAUUUAUCUGGACUUUCUGUGUGGUUAAUGUUUGUAAAGCUUUCUUUGAUUUGAUCCAUAAUUUAUGUCUUUGAGCAAAAUGCUAUAUGUUGCAACCAUGCUGUAAACACGCAAAGUACCCGAGUUUAUCAAAUGGAGACCGUCAUUUUACGGUUCCUCAAAAUUAUAGAGCAUUACGAAUGCCAAAUUUAUACUUGUAAGGCCUUUUAGAUUGCUCAUGAAUUUUUUUUUAUUAACACUCAUGAAUAUUAGAUAUAUACGAAUUUCUAUGGAACGAAUCCAGCUCUAUUCAUUUUCAAUAAUGAAUUAAAACGAUUUCAUGUAGCUCGAUUUAUUUAUAUCAUCAUCACUAUUAUUGAAAAAGCAAGCUCGAUUUGAUAACGAACCCAUAAAAUUUAAAAUUAUUGUAACAAAACCUAAAAUAAAUUGCCUGAUGCUUACACCUUAAUGAAACGGAACAUAUUUUUGUAAUAAUUUGUGCAAUUAAAUAAUAUUGAAUAAGUUUAUAAUUUGAAAAAUUAUUUAGUACCGAAUGAAAUUUUUAGACUCUACAAAUGAAGUUAGAAGUUAAUAAGCGUUUUAUAAGAAUAUAAUAAAAUAAUAAAAAAAUAAUACUUAAAAAGAAGGCAUAUAUAAUUUUUUAAAAUUACUUGUAGAGUAAAAAAUGCACUGUGAUUAUACUAAAUAAUCGCUUAUAGUUUAUACAAAAUUUAUAAUAAUUAAUAUGAUUUGAUUAACAUUUUAUGUAAUUGGAACUCAUUUUCGCUCUAUAGAGUACACGUAAAAUCUUCCCAAGCUCAUUAAGUUAGACAUUUGGUUCGGGAACUAGCAGGAAGCCGAACCUCUAGGCUUGGUUCGAAACUAGGUCGAACGAGAGACUACCCAAUCAUAGCCUGUUAAAGGGGCAACGGGCAUCAGAUUGGAUUGAAGCUAAAUAAUCUUAAUAUAAACCUCUUCAAAAUUUUAAAUUAGAAUAUAAUACAUAUUUAAAUGGGUUUAAAUUCAUUAUUGUUACAACAAUGACGACAUGUCAUCCGAUUAUAAUAUAUUUCUUUUUGGAUGUAUCUCAUAAAUAAAUUUAUAAGAAUUAUAAUUAAAUAUCACAUUAAUAUAAAAGAUUAUUAAAAAAAUAUAAUGAUAAAUUUCACUUUCAAUAUUUAUAUAUAUUUUUAAUUUGAUCCUAAUAUUUUGCUUGAGUUAAAUUUGAUUAUUAAUUUUUUUAAAAAGUUCAAUCGUUUUUUAAGAAAAUUCCUAACUAAAACAUUUGUUUUUCAAUGAUGUUUGCAUGACAAUUCGCAUGAUAAUCCAUGUAUACUCAAUGUUGGCAUAAACUAUUUGUUUUAUAUGUCACAUUAACAAAUAAUUUGAAAGUAUAAAAAUAUUCAAAAUAAAAAUUAUAAAAAAGUUCAUAAAAUUUUUAAAAAAAUGAAGCACACAUGGAUUGCCAUGCAGGCUGUCAUAUUUAAAUAUUUAACGUUUUGUUUAGUAUUUCGUUAAAAAGAAUUAUUUAAUUCUUUUUAAAAAGUUGAGGGCCAAAUUUACAUUAAAAAAAAGAAUAAUGAUUAAAUUGAUAAAAUAUAUAAACAUUAAGGUCUUAAUUGAUCAUUAUGUCUUAUAAUUUAAUGUAAUUGAAAUAAAAAAAUAUUUUUUAAAAUUAUUCUAACAAGAGAUAUUCAUCAAGAUAAUAAUAAAAGGGAAAUAUUUUAUACAUUGCGAGUUUUUAAGUUAUAUAAGUGGAAUUAAAGGGUUGAUAAAUAUUCUAUAAUUUUUAAAAUUAUAAAAUAAAAAUAAAAUAAUACCGAUGUACUAAAUAUUCAUCUCUAAUAAAAAUGAUAAAAAAUGAAAAAUUGUGAUAAAUGAUAAUAAUGUUGUGAAAUAAUAAAGAAAGAAUAAACUAAAAUGUGAUAGAAGAAAAAGUGUAGAGAGAAUAUAGAAGAAAGAGUGUAUCUUCUUUUUUUAUUAUUUUUCAUGAGUACAUGAGCCCCAUAUAUAUGGGGGUUAAAAGUAACUCUCUAAUUAUUAUAGGGCAUGUAAAGGGUCAUGACCUUUUAUCUCCCAUAUUAAUGGGGUAUAGGAAAAGCUUCAUAACUUAUGGGGUAUAGGAAGAGUUUUAUAACUUAUGGGGUUGAUAAUGACAUCCACAUAAAUAUUUCAUAACACUCCCCCUUGGAUGUUCAUUAUCUAAUUAUACCUCGUUAAAACCUUACUAAGAAAAACCCAGUAGGACAAAAAACUUAGUGAAGGAAAAAGAGUACAUAAUUAUACGCUUGAUAUGCUGCCUCAUUAAAAACCUUACCUGGAAAACCCAGUGGGAUAAAACCAAGGUUAAGGGAAAAAGAGUACAGCGCAUAUUAACUCCCCCUAAUGGCUACAUCACUUGAGAUCUCGAAGGUGACGCAUUCCAAUGUAGUAAACAAGCUUCUAAAACACUAAUGUAGGAAGCGCCUUAGUGAAUAAAUCUGCUAAAUUCUCACUUGAACUGAUCUACUUAACUUUUAUCUCCUUAAUCUUCUGGAGGUCAUGAGUGAAGAAGAAUUUUGGUGCAAUGUGUUUUGUUCUGUCACCUUUGAUGUAUCCACUAUCGAGCUGAUCAAUGCAUGUUGUGUUCUCUUCAAACAAGACAGUUGUAGCUUCCUUUCCAGAUGAUAAACCACAAUUAUUCCUUAUAUGCUGGAUCAUAGAUCUUAGCCAUACACAUUCACGACUUGCUUCAUGGAUUGCUAAGAUUUCUGCAUGAUUAGACAAGGUUGCUGCAAUUGUUUGCUUCAUUGAGCGCCAAGAGAUUGCAGUACCUCCAUAUGUAAAAACAUAUCCAGUUUGUGAUUUUCCAUUAUGAGGAUCUGACAUAAAUCCUGUAACACCCCCUAAUCCCAAACCGUCGCCGGAAUAGGGUUACGAGGCGUUACCGAACAUAUUGGUUAAUUUACAAACAAUUCAUGAAUAAACAACAAAUAUAUUAAAAUUAAAUCAUUAAGUCUCUUUUAUGAACCCUCGAGGCCUAAAUCACGUAUUAUAAAUGAAUAGGGACUUAUUCAAGUACUCCGAAAAUUUUUCGUAAUAUAAUAAUUAUAUUUUUUUUAAAAAUAAUUCAAUAUAACCCCUUUAGAAACAUCUAACCUUCCCUGCAAUUUCAAAUUUGCAACUAACUCAACACAACAACAACUCAACAAAUACAAUCUUCAUCCAAAUCACAUUCAUCUUAUAACAAUAUCACUAAUCCUUAUUUUAUCUAACAUUAUAUCCAUUCAUACUUUCAAGUAGUAUUUAAACAUCUUAAUUAAUUUCCAUUCAUAUCAUAUAUCAACUUAUAUUAACUUAACUAAUAUAUUCAUGAGUUGAUACAAAACAUAGUCACAUAAGCUCCUAUACAUGCCAUAUAAACCAUUUAAAGCAUUUAUAACAAAAUCUACCGGAAAAUCGAGAUAAUGUGACUUGAGUGUGAUGAUCCGAUCUUCUGACCCUCCCGUUAAUCUACAAAGAGCAAUAAACAUUACAGGUAAGCUAACUAUAGCUUAGUAAGUUCGUCGGCUUAAACCAUAAACCUUACCAAUAUUAGUUUCAAAAAUUCAAAUCAUAUGGACAUUUCAAGUAAGUUAUUUUCAUCCUAUAAAUCAUAAUUUCAUUUUAAAAAUAAUUUACUUAAUUGAGCUCAAAAAUAAUGAUAACAUUAUUUACAUUUCUUUUUCCACACGUUACAAUUAUGACUUAUCGACUUGUCAAUUUAAGGAACGACUUACGGAUUUGAGUACAUCGUGAUCUGAAACCCGAAAUCUAACUGAAGCACAUAAGUGCUAAACGGAAGCCCGAAGGCUAACUGAAGCUCAUCAGAGCUGAACUGAAACCCCAAAAGGGUUAACUGAAACUUAUAUGAGUUAACGGAAGCUCGUAAGAGCUAAACAAAAAGCAAACACGAGAGUUCGCAACAAAUGCUGAAUCUCGGUUUACUUGUGUAAUUUACCGUCAAUUCGUCUUUUCAUCGAACGUUCGUACUCGUUUCCUGCGUUCCGUUCCUCCGAAAUACUCAGUUCAAUUUCGUAACUUUUGUACAUGAUUUAAUUACUUUCAACAAUUAACAUACAUAAAUAUUAAUCACCAUUCAUAAAAUAACAUUGAAAUUUAAUAAUUUAAAUGUACGAACUUACCCGAAACAAUUUGCAGUAGUUGUAGAGAUUUCUGGAACUAUUCCGAAAUUUUCUCUUUUCCUCGUUUAUCCUCGAUUUCUUGAUCUAUAAUAUAAAAUUUUUCACUUAUCAGUAUUGACUUCACAUUUAUUCUAUUUCAUAUCCUUAAUGUUUAUAACCCGCUUAUAAGUAACAUUAUCUGGAAUUUCACUAUUUACUUAUGUAUAUUCAAUGCUGUCCAUCCGUGUCAUAGUCACUAAAUUAUUUUUAUCUUCAGCUAAAGAACUCCAAAUUAGGAUCCGCUAAUUUUUCCUGAAACUAGACUCACAUAUCUUCUUAUCAUAAAAUUUUCAGAAUUUUUAGUUUAUCCAAUAAUUAGAGUUUAUUUUUAAAGUCACCCCUGUUCUGCUAUCUGUCAACUCCGACCCUUCUUCACUAAAAAUUAAUUAUAUCUUCGUACAGAAUUCGGAUGAUGUCCAUGUUUGUUUCUAUUGAAAAUAGACUCAUUAAAGAUUUUAAAAAUAUAAAUUUAAGCCCCUAAUUAUUUUUCUCAAAUUUUUUAUGAUUUUCCAAAGUGAGAAUAGGGGAACCCAAAAUCAUUCUGACAUUGUCUCACAAAAUCUAUUAUAUCUCAUGAUCUACAAUUUCGUUGCUUACACCGUUUCUUCUAUGAGAAACUAGAUUCAAUAAGAUUUAAUUUCAUAUUUUUUUAAUCUUCUAAUUCGAUUUCUAAAAUUUAUGGUGAUUUUUAAAAGUUAGACUACUGCUGCUGUCCAAAACUGUUUUAGUGCAAAUGUUGAUUUCGAUUUUUGCCCCAAAUUUCACAGUUCAUACAAUUCAGUCCUUGUUCAAUUAAUCCCUCAAUGAAGCUAAUUUUUCCUAAUUAAUGCUUUACCUAGACAUUAUAAGUUAUUUCACAAUUAUUUAAAUUAAUAAUUUCCACAUAAAACCCUAACUUCAAACUGUUUCACCAUUAGGUCCCAAACAUUCACUUUCUAUUCAAUUCUUUCAAUAAAAUCAGCAUAUAAACAAUUUAAAACUCUAAUUCCAUGCUAAAUCACCAUAUACUUCCAGCACAUAUUCAUAGAAACUUCCAAUUUCUUUCAUAGAAUCAAAAACUAAUGAAUUCAACAAGUAGACCUAGUUGUAAAAGUCAUAAAAACACAAAAAUUUCAAGAAAUAAUCAAGAAUUGAACUUACUUGCAGUAAAAAUAUGAAAAACCAGCUUAAGAAAACCCUUCUAUGGUGUUUUUUCUGAUGAGAAUGCAGAAAAAUAAUGAGAAAUCUAGAUAAUUUCACUUUAGUCCUAGGUUUAUUAAGUAAAUUUUGUAAUAUUUUAAUUUUGCCCUUAAUCCAUCAAUUUUCCUACUGAUUUCAUGCCUCUUACCGUCCAUCCCAAAUAUACCUUGGGUCUAUUUUCCUUUUAAACCCUCUUUCUUUUAUCAUUUAAGCUAUUUAAUCAUUUCCCAUAAUUUUACAUUUGUUACAAUUUAAUCCUUUUUAUUUAAUUAACUAUCGAAACUUUAAAAUUUCUUAACGAAACUUUAAUACUAACUUAUUAACACUCCAUAAAUAUUUAUAAAAAUAUUUAUGGCUCAUUUUAAAAUUUUCAAACUCUCGAUAUCUCAUAUCCGAUUCUAAUUUUUAAAAUUUUUAUUUCUAGUACACUAUUCGCUAUUUCAAAAAUUUUCCUAACUUCACACUUAACUUAUAUUCACUAAAUUAUUAAUAUUUUCUACUCAUUUUUCAGAUUCAGUGAUCUCGAAUCACUGUUCCGACACCACUGGAAAUUUAGGUUUAUUACAAAUCCUGCAUCUGCAAAACCAAUCAACUCUGUCUUUGAUUUAUUAGGGAAAAAUAGACCCAUAUUCUUUGUGCAUUGGAGAUAACGAAAUAUCUGUUUUAAUCCAGUCCAAUGUCUCCGAGUUGGGCAUGAGCUAAAUCUUGCUAGCAAAUUUACAGAAAAAGAUAUAUCAGGUCGGGUAUGGCUAACAAGAUACAUUAAUGCCCCAAUUGCACUAAGGUAUGACACUUCAGGACCAAUAAAAUCUUCACUAUCUUCCCGAGGACGGAAAGGGUCUUUACUUGGAUCAAGUGAUCUUACAACCAUCGGGGUAGUUUUUGGAUGUGCCUUAUCCAUAUAAAAUCUCUUUAGCACCUUUUCAAUAUACGUUGAUUGAUGCACAAGGAUUCCUUCUUUUAGGUGCUCAAUUUGUAACCCCAAACAAAAUUUCGUUCUUCCAAGGUCUUUCAUUUCAAAUUCUUUCUUCAAGUACUCAACAGUCUUUUAGAUCUCUUCAGGAGUUCCAAUGAUAUUCAAAUCAUCAACAUAUACUGCAAUAAUUACAUAUCCAGAUCCAAACUUCUUAAUGAAAAUGCAUGGGCAAAUUGGAUCAUUCUUGUAUCAUUCUUUCAACAAAUACUCGCUUAGGCGAUUAUACCACAUGCGUCUGGAUUGUUUCAAUCCAUAAAGGGAUUUGUGCAAUUUGAUCAAAUAAUGUUCUCUAGAACCUGAACUCACUGCUUCAGGUAGUUUAAAUCCUUCAGGGAGUUUCAUAUAUAUGUUAGUAUCCAGUGGGCCAUACAAAUAAGCUGUUACUACAUCCAUUAGACUUAAAUCAAGCCCUUCUCUUAUAGCCAGACUUAUCAAAAAUCUAAAUGUAGUUGUAUCCAUCACAGGAGAAUAUGUCUCCUCAUAAUCAAUUCCAGGUCUUUGUGAGAAUCCUUGUACAAUUAAACGUGCUUUAUACCUUACAAUUUCAUUCUUUUCAUUUCUUUUACACACAAAAACUCAUCUAUAUUCCACUGGUUUCACACUUGUAGGUAUACGGACUACAGGUCCAAACACUUCUCUUUUCGCUAGUGAUUUCAAUUCAUUUUCAAUUGCUUUUUUCCAUUUUGGCCAAUCAUCUCUUUGUUUACAUUCCUCAAUCGAUUUUGAUUCAUAAUCCUCUUUAUUAUUUAUAACAUCUAGUGCUACAUUGCAUGCAAAAAUAUCAUCGACGUCGAUUUGAUUUUGGUUCCAUUUUAUACCAGACAUGACAUAAUCAAUAGAGAUCUCUUCAUUGUCAGGUACCUGAUUUUCUUCUGAAACUAUUCUUCCAAUUAUGUCUAUAGUCUCUUCAGGAGAUCCCGGUAUAAUCAUUUUUUCUUUGAUUUCGCUAUCAUUAAUCUUUGCUCCUUUCUUUUUUCGAGGAUUCUUAUCUUUGGAACCAAUUGGUCUACCAUGCUUCAGGCGUGUAUUAGACUCAGUAGCAACUAGAUUUUGUCCUUCUGGGACAUCAAGUUUUAUUGGAGCAUUCACAGCUGGUAUAUGUGACUUAGUCACUUUCUUUGGGUCAGAAAAUGCGUCUGGCAAUUUAUUAGCUAAACUUUGUAAAUGAAUAAUCUUUUGAACUUCUAAAUCACAUUACUUAGUUCGAGGAUCAAGAUGAGCUAAUGACAACUCUUUCCAACUAAUUUUCUUAUCCAGCUGUUUGAUUUCUCCCCCUAGUGUUGGAAAAAUUGACUCUUUAAAAUGACAAUCUGCAAAACGAGCCGUAAAUAGAUUCCCUGUAGAUGGUUCUAGAUAUUUAAUUAUGGAUAGGGAUUCAAAUCCAACAUAUAUACCCAACCUUCUUUGAGGUCCCAUCUUAGUUCUAUGUGGUGGAGCAAUUGUAACAUAUACAACACAUCCAAAUGUUCUUAGAGGGGAAAUAUUUGGUUCCUGACCAUGAACUAUUUGUAAGGGGGAGACUUUUUGAUAACUUGUUGGCCUGAUGAGAAUUAAUGCAGCUGCAUGUAAAAUUGCAUACCCCUAAGCAGUGAUUGGGAGUUUUGACUUCAUAAGUAAUGACCCUGCUAUCAAUUGAAGUCGUUUUAUUAAAGAUUCUGCUAGACCAUUUUGUGUGUGAACAUGAGCUACAGGAUGUUCAACACUUAUUCCAAUGGACAUGCAAUAGUUAUUAAAAGACUGAGAAGUAAACUCACCAGCAUUAUCAAGACGAAUGGUCUUAAUAGGAAAAUCUGGGAAAUGGGCUCGUAAUCGAAUCAAUUGAGCAAGCAAUCUCGCAAACGCCAGGUUGCGAGUUGAUAACAAAGAUACAUGAGACCAUCUACUCGAUGCAUCAAUUAAAACCAUAAAGUAUCUAAAUGGUCCACAUGGGGGAUAUAUAUGCCCACAUAUAUCCCCUUGAAUUCGCUCAAGAAAAGUAAGUGGUUCGUUAUUUAUCUUAGCUGGUGAUGGUUAGAUUAUUAAUUUCCCCAGUGAACAUGCAGCACAUGUAAUGUUUUGAAGAAUCUGCUGGCUCUUCAAUGAAUGUAUACAUGAAUUUUUAAUUAUUUUUCGCAUCAUUAUUGAACUGGGAUGGCCUAACCGGUCAUGCCAAAGAACAAAGUCAUUAGUAAACUUCUGGUUUAUUAUAGCAUGUGUUUCUAUAGAACUGAUCUUUGUGUAGUACAAACCAGUAAAGAAUGCAGGCAAUUUCUUAACAGUGUGUUUAUUGCCUUGAGCAAUACUCGUAAUUUGAAGGAAUUCACAAUUUCCUUCGUUUAAAGUCUCAAUAUGAUAUCCAUUUUGGCGAAUAUCUUUAAAACUCAAUAAAUUUCUUUGAGACUUAGGAGAGUAUAAUGCAUUAAUAAUUUCAAUUUUUGUUCCCCUUGGUAAUAAAAUAAUUGCUCUUCUGGAGCUUUCUAUAAUAGUUGUACUACCAGAUAUAGUGCUCACACUUUCUUCUUUCAUUAUUAAAUGAGAAAAAUAUCUCUUGUCUUUCAAUAUGGUGUGAGUAGUUGCACUGUCUGCUAGACAUAUAUUUUCACCAUUCAUAGCUGAUUGCCUUUGCGAGAUAAUGUUCUUCAAAGAAACAAAAUAACCUCAAAAUGUUACACAUAAUGGUGAAAACAGGUAUUCAAAGUUCAAAUUACUAAAAGGUCUAUAAAACAAAAUUAUCACAUAAAACAUAGCACUAGUAAAGGUCAUAACAUCAUUAUUAAAGUUGCUAAAUGAAACAUAGAGUAGUAGAGGUUUAUUUUAUUAUUUAACGAAAUUUAUGGCCUUAAUAAUUUCCUUCAGGAGUAGAAAGAAAAUCAGCCACUUCUAAGUGGGUUGCAUUGCCACCAUCAAAAUCACCUUCACCAUCUUUAUACACAAGAUUGGUUUCUACUUUCUUUCCCUUCUGUUUUAUAGACUGCUGAUAAAAAUCAACUAGAUGCUUUUGUGUGCGACACACACGAGACCAAUGUCCUUUUUCUUCAUAAUAAUAGCAUACAUUAGUCACAUUUUCACCUUUUUCUUUCUCUUCCCUGUUACCAUUUUUUCGAUCCCACUUCUGGUAGGAAUGUGAAUUUUUAAAACGAUCACCUCACCAUAUCCAUAUCUAUGUACGCGGCCACGCCCUCGGCCAAGACCACAGCCACGCACACUACUAUUUGCAUAGUGUGUUUCUUUUAAUUCUUGCCCAUUGUGUAAACUCACAUUCGCUUCAGGGAAUGGAGCAGAGCCAGUUGGGUGUAAUUCAUGGUUUUUCAUUAGCAGCUCGUUGUUUUGCUCCGCCACUAGGAGAUAAGAAAUUAAUUCAGAAUAUUUCUGGAAGCCUUUUUCACGAUAUUGUGUCUGCAGGACAACAUUAUUUGCAUGGAAAGUUGAGUAUGUUUUUUCUAACAUUUCUACAUCAGUAAUCUUCUCUCCACAUAAAUUCAAUUGUGAAGUGAUUCUGAACAUGGCCGAGUUAUAAUCACUAACAGACUUAAAGUCUUGCAAUCUUAAAUUCAGCCACUCAUAACGAGCUUUAGGCAAAAUCACAGUUUUCUGGUGGUCAUACCUUUCCUUUAGAUUGGCCCAAAGAAUUUGAGGGUCAUUAACAGUCAAAUAUUCGGUCUUUAGACCUUCAUGGAGGUGAUGGAGAAGGAAAAUCAUGGCCUUGGCCUUAUCUUGUGUACUUUCUUCAUUUCCCUCCUUAAUAGUCUCACCAAGACCCUUUGCAUCUAAGUGAAUUAUUAUAGGGCAUGUAAAGGGUCAUGACCUUUUAUCUCCCAUAUUAAUAGGGUAUAGGAAAAGUCUCAUAACUUAUGGGGUAUAGGAAGAGUUUCAUAACUUAUGGGGUUGAUAAUGACAUCCACAUAAAUAUUUCAUAACAAAUAAUAAUUAAAAAAAAUGGUAACUUCUUUUAUCAUUAUUUGGGAUUGAAAGGUCAUCAUAUUCAUUAAAAAAACAAAAAAGAGAGAAAAGAAGAUAGGAUUGAAAAGUUAGCCACACUAAUUAAUGAAGGGCAUUUUUUAGUAACUUCGUAUACAUCCAAUCUUUUCAAUAUCUUUUUUAUUGAAAAAGACGUACGAACCUAUUGAGAGAAAAUUAAGCUUUUAAACUUGAAGUAACGAAAGAGAUUGAAGUUUAUAUUAUUUUAUUAUUGUUAAGUAUUUCUAUCACAUUCAAAUUGAAAUUUAUUUUGUUCUAAAUUAAAAGUUAAAAAUCUUGUUUGUCCCACUUUACAAAAGUCAAAUUUUAUUUACGAGAAUUAUAGAUUAGUUCUUUAUAUUUUAAUUUAAUUAUUUUUAAUGUAAAUUUAUUUAAAUUUUAAAAUUUUAAUUAUAAUCUAAAAGAUAAUCAUUAAAUUUCUAACUUAACUAAUUUAAAUAAUUAUCAUUAAAUCAUAUUAUUACAUAUGUAAUGUCAUAUUAAUUUAUUGUUUUUAUAUAACACUCAUAAAAAAAUAUAAUGAAAAAUAGAUGAAGUAUAACCCAAUUUUAUAAUUAAAACUAGGUUAUACGUCAAUUAUAUUUUUUUGAGCGAUAGUGCAAAGUUGAAAUAGUAAUUAAUUAAAAAAAUUAGAUUUUCGUUGAGAAGAACGAUGAGGUAACUAAUUAAUUUUUAAUAAUUAAUUAACCAUUGACUAAAGUUAUUGGAAUCUAUGGAAUUUUAGAAUCUUUAGCCGCUGUCUGCACCCUGGCUGGUUGUCUUAUAACGUCAAGCUACCUCCAUGAACAGUGAAGUGAUUGUCUCCCAUAAUUAAUUAAUUAAUCAGACACUUUUUGGACGAAACGGCCUCCCUUCCGUGAUUUACUUUUUUUUAUUUAUUUACAAAUUGAUUAUUAGCCCACUAAUUUGUAGCUUUGCCAACCAAUUAAACAACCACCAUUUAUUACAAUCAUAUAGGAAUCAUCGUUCAAACAAAAGUAAGAAUAAGAAUUUGCCCCGCCCCAUCAUUAUCCAAUAAUUUGACUCUCUCAAUUACUUUAGAUUUAAAUUUUAAAAUGUACUGUUUAGAUAUAAAAUGUUACCUUUGAUAUUGAGUAUAUUUAAAAUAUAUGGUGCAAAUUUUAAAUACAUUUAUAUAACUUAUCAGAUUUUAGAAUUUAGAUUUAGAUUUUAAAAAUAAUGUAAAUUGAGUAGUAAAACUGUUAGAAAUGUAAUAUUCAUGAUAAUUUUUCAAAUUUAUUAAUUUGUUAAAUACCUAUUUAAUAAUGAAUUUGAUUUGUGUUUUUUUUUAGCAUUUGUCAAAUUCAUGUUUUUAUAUUUUUCAAGUAUAUAUCUAGCUGUCUUAUUUUUACAUAAUAAGCAGAAUUCAAAUCUAAAAUUUCACAUCCAUAUUACCAAACAGAGCUAAAAGGAAAUGUCCUUAAAAUUUAAAGAUACUAUGUAUAAUUUUUAAAUAUAUUAUUGGUCUAGCUAAAAUUUAACCCCAAGAACUUAAUUAAUAAAACAUCCCAUACAAUAAUGAUUUAAUUCAAACAUUUAAAAAAUUUAAGCUACGGAGACUUAAAAUUAAUAAUAUCAAUAAUAAUAAGACAACAAUAGGUAUAGUGGACAUAUAGUGGUACUAUUUAAAGGAGAGUCACAAACAUAUAAACACACCCAGUAAAAGCAAAAUAUUUCCUUUAAUUUUUCUUAGGACUAAAAUAUGUCUUAUAAAAGUAAAUAAAAGAAAGUGACAUAGAUGUACUAAACAAGAAGCAGGAAUUGCAGCUAAGCUAAACUCAUUCAAUAGUUUUUAUUCUCUUUAGUUUUUCGAUUGUUUCUCAAAAAAUGGGAACUAUGGAAAUUGAAGCAACAGUACCAAAACUAGCUGAGGAAGUGGUGAAAGAGGAGGGUGAAAUGGACGAAAUCGAGGUGUCUCCGAUUGAACAAGUUCGUCUGACAGUGCCCAACACCGAUGACCCUUCGCUCCCUGUAUGGACUUUCCGUAUGUGGUUCUUGGGUCUUUUCUCUUGCGCCCUCCUUUCCUUCCUGAACCAGUUUUUCGGCUACCGAACCGAGCCGCUCGUCAUCACCCAAAUCACCGUCCAGGUGGCCACUCUUCCCAUCGGACGCUUCAUGGCUUCGGCUCUUCCCGCCACUAAGUUUCGUAUACCUGGGUUCGGUUCGAAGGAAUUCUCGCUUAACCCCGGACCGUUUAACAUGAAGGAGCAUGUUCUAAUAACGAUAUUUGCUAAUGCUGGAAGUGGUUUUGGAAAUGGUACUGUUUAUGCUGUUAGUAUUGUUACCAUAAUCAAGGCUUUUUAUGGAAGGAGCAUCUCUUUCUUAUCUAGUUGGCUUCUUAUCAUGACUACACAGGUUGGUUUACUGCACUUCUUCUUGACUUUGAGGUUAAAAGAAGACCUUGAUUAUGGUAUAUAUAUCAUAUAUGUUCGACUGUUUUCAAAGAAAAGGAUUAACUGAGACUAUAGAUUGAGAAUCGAGAAUUUUUCAAGUUUGAAUAUUAAUUUCCAUUUUUUUUAUGGUAAGUAAUAUGUAGGGAAAAGAAACACAAAGAUCUAUAUAUAUACAUUUUUUUCUAAGUCUAGUUACAGUUCUCGACGUGCUUUCUUUUUUUGAUUUCUCACAUUUUAAGUUUUCAUUAACGCUUAGCGUUUCAUGGUAUGUAAGUGGAAAUUUUUUUAUUUUAUGAGUCUUAUUUUAUUAUUUUAAUUUAAUUUAAAAAAAUUUAAAUUGAGUCAAGUGAAAUUAUUUGAGUUAAAUUAAAAAUUUAAGUAUAUCAUAUUAAAAUUUUGUUACAAUAUAAUUAAUUUCAUAUUAAAAUACAAAAAUUUAAAAUCAUAUACAUUUGAAUUUUUUUCAAAGCAAAAUAAUAAUAAAAAUAUUUAGUAUGAUAAACUUGAAUCUUAAUUAAUUUAUUUAGAUCCCAAAAUUAUUAUUCUAAAUUUUUAAAAUUUUUUUAACUUUCUUUAUAUAUUUUUUAGAUUUUUUUUGAAAUUUUUAUAUAUUUUUUAAAAAUAUAAAUUUUAGAUUUUUUUAUAAAUAUUAUGAAAUUUUGAAAAAUUAUUUAAAUUUUAUUGUAAUUUUUAUUGAGAGGGUGUUAUUUAAAUUAUUCGAUGAAACUCUAAUUACCUAUUCGAGUCUUGAAUAACUCGAUUCAAUUAAUUUGAAAUUUAAUUUUUAUUUUAUUUUUUAGAAUUAGAUCGAGUUUUGUUAACCACUAAUUUAAACUUUAAUUUAUUUGGUUGUUAUAAGUGCAGGUUAUGGGAUAUGGUUGGGCGGGGAUACUGAGGAAGUAUGUGGUGGAGCCGGCGCACAUGUGGUGGCCCUCUACCCUUGUUCAAAUUUCUCUCUUCACGUAAGUUACUUUGGUCUUCUUCCUAUAUAUAUGUUGCAUGUAUGUUGAUGCUUUAAUUGGUCAAAUAUAUAUUUGUUAUACCUCGGAAACAUCUCACAUGGAAAUAGCAGUAAUACUUCUAUUUUCAGUUUGUUUCAGCAUUCAGUAUUCUACUUUGGAAAGGCGAUAAUUGGCAUAUAUAUAUUAUAUUGUACACUUUUCAUUGUUUAGCUACAAAUUCAAAAAGUUAUUGUACUGUAUAGUUGUGAUGAAUAUGACAUUGCAGGACUUUACAUGAGAAGGAAGAAAAUAAGGAUGGCAAGCGCCCCAUAGCACGAGUGAAAUUCUUCGUGAUAGCAUUAGUGAGUAGCUUCUGCUGGUAUGUUUUCCCAGGUUACCUCUUCCAAACCUUGCAAAGCAUCUCUUUGGCUUGCUUGGUCUUCCCCCAUUCGGUAACCGCCCACCAAAUCGGCUCAGGCAUGAAUGGUCUCGGUAUUGGGGCCUUCACACUUGACUGGACAACCGUUGCCUCUUUCUUGUUUAGCCCGCUUGUUUCGCCCUUCUUCGCCAUUGUAAACGUCUUCAUAGGAUAUGCCUUGAUUAUAUACCUCGUGAUGCCGGUAUCUUACUGGGGGCUAAACCUAUUCAACGCGAAAACAUUUCCCAUUUAUUCAUCGGACUUGUUCACCGCACAAGGUCAGGAGUAUAACGUUUCGUUGAUUGUUAACAAGAAGUUCGAGAUCGAUUUCCCAGAGUAUGAGAAGUUAGGGAGGGUCCAUAUGAGCACUUUCUUCGCUAUCACCUAUGGAUUUGGAUUCGCUACUAUUGCUGCCACCAUAACACAUGUGGCCUUGUUCUAUGGAAGGUAAAAAUUAUUUGGUUAUUUCGCAAGGUGAAACUUCAUUCUUCUAUUUGAUGUACAUCUUUUAAGUAAAAAAACAUGUUGAUUGCAGGGAAAUUUAUAGUCGAUAUCAAGCUUCUUCAAGGGAAAAGCCUGAUGUUCACACAAGGCUGAUGAGAAACUACAAAGACAUACCUUCGUGGUGGUUUUAUUUGCUUCUUGCCGUCUCAAUUCUUCUGGGCCUUGUACUCUGCAUCUUCUUUAAAAAGGAUGUUCAAAUGCCUUGGUGGGGACUCUUAUUUGCUGCUGCACUUGCCUUCUUUUUCACUUUGCCUAUCAGCAUUAUAACAGCUACGACUAAUCAAGUAAAUUAAGAUUGGAAUUUUGCUUAUCAACAAGGAUUAUAUUUUUUUUUCAAAAAGAAAAAAACUCACCUAAUUGAUGAAUGUUUAUGUUCUUUACCGGCAGACACCAGGGUUGAAUAUCAUUACAGAGUAUAUAAUGGGAGCAAUAUUGCCUGGACAACCAAUAACCAAUGUUUGUUUUAAGACCUAUGGGUACAUUAGCAUGGCUCAGGCUGUGGCUUUUCUUAGUGAUUUCAAGCUCGGUCAUUACAUGAAAAUUCCUCCAAGAUCAAUGUUUCUGGUUCAGGUAUUAUAGUUUAUCAUCUGUAUACUUAAAAAUUGUUUUUUCAACAGAAUUUUAUUUGGAUAAUUCUCUUACAUUGGUCGAUUGUUGGUUGCACUUGCUUCUCAGUUCAUCGGAACCAUGUUAGCCGGAACGAUAAACCUUGGAGUGGGCUGGUGGCUUCUAUCUUCCGUCGAGAACAUAUGCCAUAAAAAUCUUCUCCCAGCAAAUAGUCCUUGGACAUGCCCCGGCGAUAAAGUCUUCUUCGAUGCAUCGGUCAUCUGGGGUUUGGUUGGACCAAAACGAAUUUUCGGCUCACUGGGGGAGUACUCAACACUUAACUGGUUCUUCCUAGGAGGACUAUUAGGACCAGUUGUAGUAUGGCUGUUGCACAAGGCAUUCCCCAGUCAGGCUUGGAUUCCCCUUAUCAAUCUGCCAGUGCUUUUAGGCGCAACAGGCAACAUGCCGCCAGCAACCCCAUUGAACUAUACUUCCUGGAUUAUCGUUGGAACUAUCUUCAACUUCUUUGUCUUCAGGUAUCGAAAGCGAUGGUGGCAGAGGUAUAAUUACAUUCUAUCAGCUGCAUUGGAUGCAGGGACAGCAUUCAUGACAGUGCUGAUUUACGUUGCACUGGGUGUUGAGAGUAAGAGUUUGCACUGGUGGGGUGCUAGUCCUGAUGUUGUCCCGGAGCACUGUGAUCUAGCAACUUGCCCUACCGCUAAGGGUAUAUUGGUUGAAGGGUGCCCAAUAUUUUAAGCUUCGUGCUUUGUUAGUCUGCUACUUUUUUAAUUAAUUUUCUCAAGGUCUCAGCAUGGCAAAGAAAUGAAUAAAAAAAAAACUCAAGCAUAAUGAAAGAAUUUGGUUGCGGAAAAGAAGAUUCUAAUUAGUAUACAACAUUUUAAGAUUAUUGUAUGAAUCGAAAGGAAACCCAGUUCAGUUAUUUGGAUAAUUUAUGGACAAGUCUACUCAUAUAUAUAUUUAAAUAUUUUAUAAUAAAAAUUAUUUUUGAUGAAAGUAAAAUAUCUUUAUCUUUAAUAUCUAUUAUUAAAUAUUAAAUAUUUUAUUAUAUUUAAUAAAAAAUUAAAUAAUGAAAAUUAAAUAUUUUAAAUUUAAUUAUUAUUUGAUAAUCAUAUUUUAAUGUUAUUUUAAAUUUAAAUACUCUUUCAAGUAUUGUUCAAUAAUAAGUGGUGUUCUCGCAAUUAAAUUGUGUAUAUAUGUUUCAAUAAUUCGAUCUUUAUAUUGAUUAUAUAAAUAUAAAAAAUAAAAAAUAUAAUAGUAAUAUUUUCUUAUAAUUUGUAAUUGGUUGGAAAUGUGUUUGUGAUCCAAACGAAUAAAAAGCAUCGAAAUUUUUAAAAUCUAUGACAUUUAUCAAAUUAAAUAAGAUUAAUUAAUUUAGACAAUAAAAUAAACUAAAAAAUACAAUAUUAUUAAAUUAACAAUUUAUUUAAAAUAAAAAUAUCUUUAAAGCUUUUAAAAAAAUAAAAUACCUCAUUUUAUUUGAAAUCUUUGAGAUGAUGAAAAUCGAAUAAAAUUAAUAAAUUAGGAUAAAAAAAUGAGAGAAGAAGAAUUUGAGAAAAUUUUGAGAGAUUAGGAUAAAAAAUUAAGGGAGAAAGAGUUUCAAAAUGAAGAAAGAUGGAUGAAAUUGAAUAAAAAAAAAUGAUAAGCGGAGAGAUUUAUUUAGGGUUAGAGUUUGGGAGCCGCUAAGUGUUUUUAAUUUUUUUUUCAUUUUUCAAAUUUCUAAUUGUUGGAGAUUCAACUUUUAUAUUUAUUAUUAUUUUUUUAAAAAUUCUGUGUAGAGCAUCACUGCCAAAAUCAAUUUAUUUCCUUAAAUUUAGAAAAAAAAAAUCUAUUCACAUUUGAAAUCUGCAUAUUCCACUAAUUUAUCCUGUUGGAAUCUAUAGAAUUUUAGAAUCUUUAGCAGUUUGGUCCAGUAAUUGCACCCUGGCUUCUUGUAUUAACAACGAAAAACUACCACGUCUGUAAACUGAUAGCCUCCCAUAACUGAUGUUGAACCUUUACUUUGUAUUAACCCACUAGUUUGUAACUUUGCCAACCAAUCUCAUCGAUUUAAACAACCUCAACAACCUUUGUUACAUCUUAUAGAAAUUAUCGUACAAACAAAAGUAAGACUAAGCACUUGCCCGGCCAUUCAAUAUCGAAGAAGUCAACUUUAAACCUAUGUAAUUUUCUUCUUGUCUUAUAUAAAACUUCAUUUGAAAUUUUGUAAGAAUUUUGGUUUUUGAAAAAUGGGUAAUUAUAAUUAAGAUAAUAACAAUAAAAGGGACAUUGUUGUUUUAAACAAGAAGCAGGCAUUGCAGCUAGUUAAGACUUGUUCAUCAUUUUUUUUUUUUGGUUUCUCUUUCGUUUUGAUUAUUUAUCACUAUGGGAACUGUGAAAACUGAAGCAUCACCAAAACUAGCUGACAAAGUGGUGAAAGAGGAGGGUGAAAUCGACGAAAGCGAGCUGUCUCCGAUAGAGGAGGUUCGUCUGAUAGUGCCCAACACCGAUGACCCUUCACUCCCAGUAUGGACCUUCCGUAUGUGGUUCUUGGGUCUUUUCUCUUGCAUCCUCCUUUCAUUCCUGAACCAGUUUUUUGGUUACCGAACCGAGCCGCUAGUCAUCACCCAAAUCACCGUCCAGGUGGCGACUCUCCCCAUCGGACGGUUCAUGGCUUCGGCUCUUCCUACGGCUAAGUUCCGCAUAACUGGGUUUGGCUCGAGAAAAUUCUCGCUUAACCCCGGACCGUUCAACAUGAAGGAGCAUGUUUUGAUUACGAUAUUUGCUAAUGCUGGGAGUGCUUUUGGAAGUGGUACUGUUUAUGCUGUUUUAAUUGUUACCAUAAUCAAGGCUUUUUAUGGAAGGAGCAUCUCUUUCUUCGGUAGUUGGCUUCUCAUAAUUACAACACAGGUUGGUUUACUCGACGUUUUUUUGGCUUCAGGGUUCAACAGUAAGACGUAAAAGGAGAUAUAUAGUAUAAUCAUGUAUAUAUGAGAACAGUUUUCAAAGAAUGGUCUAUAGAAUGAGAAUUUAGAAUUUAGAAAAAAAAAAAAAACAAGAGAUAAGAUAAUAUUACCACUGUUAUUGAAGUGGUUCUUUGGCUAAUUUCGUGGUGCCUUAACUGCAGGUUAUGGGAUAUGGUUGGGCCGGGCUAGUGAGGAAGUAUGUGGUGGAGCCGGCGCACAUGUGGUGGCCCACUACCCUUGCUCAAAUUUCUCUCUUUAGGUAAUUAUUUUGGUCUUCCAAUGCACAUAUAUAUAUUAUUAAUUUUUUAUUGUUCAAAAAUGUAUCAACUAGCUUAUAGCUUAAUGAUGAAAAAACUUCUGUAUUUAUUAUCCCUUGGAAAUAUCUCACAUGAAAGUAGCAGAAAAUAUUUCUGUUUCAGUUUGCUUCAGCCUUCGAUCUUCUUUUUAUCUCUAAGGCAUUCAGUAUUCAACAUUAGAAAGGCGAUAACUGGCGUAUAUAUUGAACACUUUUGCAUUGUUUUAACGUUGUACUGCUGUUAUAUAUUCCAGGGCCUUGCAUGAAAAAGAAGAAAACAACGAUGGCAAGCGCCGCAUAUCACGACUGAAAUUCUUCGUGAUAGCAUUAGUGUGUAGCUUCUGCUGGUAUGUUUUCCCCGGUUACCUCUUCCAAACCUUGCAAAGCAUCUCUUUGGUGUGCCUGGCCUUCCCCCAUUCAGUAACCGCCCACCAAAUCGGUUCGGGCAUGAGCGGUCUCGGCAUAGGGUCCUUCACGCUUGACUGGACAACCGUUGCCUCUUUCCUGUUUAGCCCACUCGUUUCUCCCUUCUUCGCCAUUGUAAACGUCUUCAUAGGAUAUGCCUUGAUUAUAUACCUUGUGAUGCCAGUAUCUUACUGGGGGCUAAACCUAUUCAACGCGAAAACUUUUCCCAUAUUUUCAUCGGACUUGUUCACCGCACAAGGUCAGGAGUAUAACAUUACGUCGAUAGUUAACAGCAAGUUCGAGCUCAAUGAGGCGGAGUACGAGAAGUUAGGCAGGAUCCAUAUGAGCACUUUCUUCUCUGUCACCUAUGGAUUUGGGUUCGCCACAAUUGCUUCCACGGUAACACAUGUGGCCUUGUUCUAUGGAAGGUAAAAAUUCUUUGGUUAUUUCACAAGGUGAAACGUCAUUGUCCCAUUCGAUGUUCAUCUUAAGUGAUGAAAACCAUGUCGAUUGUAGGGAAAUUUAUAGUCGAUAUCAAGCUUCUUCGAAGGCAAAGGCCGAUGUUCACACUAGGUUGAUGAGAAAGUACCCGGAUAUACCUUCAUGGUGGUUUUAUUUGCUUCUUGCCGGCUCGAUUCUUGUCAGUCUUGCACUCUGCAUAUUCCUUAAAAAGGAUGUCCAAAUGCCUUGGUGGGGACUGUUAUUUGCUGCUGCACUUGCCUUCUUUUUCACUUUGCCUAUCAGCAUUAUAACAGCCACGACGAAUCAAGUAAUUUAAGAUUGCAAUUUUGCUUAUCAACAAUGAUAAUUUUAUUUUUCAAAAAUUUGACUUAAUUGAAUAUUUUUUAUGUUCUUUACCGGCAGACACCAGGGCUGAACAUCAUUACAGAGUACAUAAUGGGAGCAAUAUUGCCUGGACAACCAAUAACCAAUGUCUGUUUUAAGACCUAUGGAUACAUUAGCAUGUCUCAGGCAGUGGCUUUUCUUAGUGAUUUCAAGCUCGGUCAUUACAUGAAAAUCCCACCAAGAUCAAUGUUUCUGGUUCAGGUAUUAUAGAUUUAUAGUUUAUUAUAGAUCAAUUUCUCUGCAUUAACUUCCAUAAUUCUCUUACAUCGCUCCCUUGUUGGCCGAAUUUGCAUUUCAGUUCAUUGGAACCGUGUUAGCGGGCACGGUAAACCUUGGAGUGGCUUGGUGGCUUCUAACUACCGUCGAAAACAUAUGCCAUCGAGAUCUUCUCCCAGCAAAUAGUCCUUGGACAUGCCCCAGCGAUAGAGUCUUCUUCGAUGCAUCGGUCAUCUGGGGUUUGGUUGGACCGAAACGAAUUUUCGGUUCGCAAGGCCUGUACUCAUCACUUAACUGGUUCUUCCUAGGAGGGCUUUUAGGACCAGUUGUAGUAUGGCUGUUGCACAAGGCAUUCCCCAGUCAGGCUUGGAUUCCCCUUAUCAAUCUGCCGGUGCUUUUAGGCGCAACUGGGAGCAUGCCACCAGCAACCCCAUUGAACUACACUUCCUGGAUUCUUAUUGGAACUAUCUUCAACUUCUUCGUCUUCAGGUAUCGAAAGCAAUGGUGGCAGAGGUAUAACUACAUUCUAUCAGCAGCACUGGAUGCAGGGGUGGCAUUCAUGACGGUGCUGCUUUACUUUGCGUUGGGGAUUGAGAAUAAGAGUUUGAACUGGUGGGGUGCCAGUCCGGAUAUCUUUCCAGAGCACUGUGAUCUAGCAAGUUGCCCCACUGCAAAGGGGAUAUCGGUUGAAGGGUGCCCAAUAUUUUAAGAUUCAUGUUUUAACAUUUGUGCCCUGUUGGAAUCUGCUACCUUUUUUACUUAAUUUUCUGAAGGUCUCAACAAGUCAAAGAAUCAAAAAACCCCUCCAGUUUAAUGAAAUGAACAUGGUUGCAGAUCAGGAGAUUCUAAGUUUAAACUUUCUGAUACUACAUAAUUUUAAGAUGAUUGCAUUAAUCAAAAGAAAAUUGGAUUCAGUUAUUGCGUGAGUUGGUCACUGAUUAAGAAGGCUUUACAUUUUUUAUUCCUUAUACAUGCAAGUAAAACGUUAAACACUAUGUUGAGAUCUGGAAAAAAAAAAGACCUUUUUUCUCGAUAAUUUGCUUUUAAUUAAGAGAAAGAAUGAAAAAAAGAAAUUGAGAGUCUUCACUUUUCCUAACUUUUCUAUAUUUUUUAAUAUCUCAAAAUUUGAGGUAAAGUGAAAAGAAAGAAAUAUGGUAAUUUUUUAUAUUAUGUGAAAUUUUAUAUUUAACCUUUAUUUUAAUUUUUUUCAAAACUUUCAUUUUCUACCUACCGACCAUUUAACAUCAAACUUAUCCCUUUCCUAUUAACUUUAAUAGAGAUCCAAAACAUUUGACUAUUCAUUAUUAUUCUUGUAAAUUUGAAUAUUAGUUAACCAUGACAAAACAUUUGGGGCAAAAUAAUCAUUUUUUUAAUUUUAUGGUAGCUAAUAUUUUACAUUCUUUUUAGAUUAUUAACCUCUUUUAUUUGAAUUUGAAAUAAAUUUAUUUGUAAUUUAAUUUAAUUAUUGUUAUUGUUAUUUAUGCAAAGAAUAAAAUUAAAAAUUUCAUUCACAAUAAAUUAUUUCCAUUCUUUUCCAUAAUUUACCGAAAGAAAAUCUUAAAAUCACUUUCCUUUUAUUUCCUUUAUUAAUCUUAAUUAUUCAAACAAAAAAUAAAUUUAAUAUUUCCUUUUUUAACUCUCAAUAUUUAUACAUUGUGUCAAUUUAGUCAUGAUUCUAAAAAAAUUAACCUUUAACAUCUACACAUUGUGUAAUUUGUUUUUUUUUUCAAUUUUACUUCUAAUUGUGACUUUGAGGGUUAAUUUUAAAAGAAUAUGAAAAUUAUUAUCUUGGAUUUCGGAUGUUUCCAUUUUAUAUAUAUUUUCAAUAAAUUUAGUUAAUAAAUUUUUUUUUUAACUUUUUAGAUGAAAGGCAUACAAAGAAAAUCAAAAUUAAAAAAAAAAAACUAAAUUACUUAAUGUGUAUGCGUUGAUAGUUAAUUUUUUAAAUCAAGACUAAACUGAUACAAUGUAUAAAUGUUAAAAGUUAAAAUUACUAUUGUUAUAGGCCUGGCCAACAAGAAAUAAAAACCCAAAUUAAUUCCAAAAUAUAAAAGUCCCAAAACAAAGUCCAUUUUACAAAAAAAAAAGAAGAAAAGAAAAAACAGCAGGCCCAAUUUCCUUCAGCCACCAACCUUCUCACGCGCGCCACCACUGCUCGGGGCGCCAAUCACCGGCCUUCCACGCCUCUGACACUCCCAUGACCUGCAAACAUUUGGAAAAGAGGAAAAUGGCAGCAAGAAGCACAAGCAGUAGCAGAGAAUAAAAUAAUAAUAUGUUAAUAUGGGAAUCGGCUAUAAAGCCGAAAUGAAACUGAUUGUAACGGGGGGGAAGAAUCGAAUGUAAUGGGGGACUUUUGAAAGAGAGAAAAAUAAAAAAGAAAGGGUUAUAACACAGAGAUUAAUCAAAGAAACGUUUUCAAAAGGUUUCAUUUUUUUUCAUUUCCUAUCUUUAUCAUUUAUUUUAUGUAUUUAUUUCGAAUCUAUAUACAAAUAUAUAAAAAGGAAAGAUUUUUACCCGUAUUUGGCGUUGGUACCCUGGGCAUACGCUUCUCCAGUCCGAAAGCCGGCGGAUCUCUAGAGAUCCGGUUAAAACUUCGACGGAGGAAGCCAAAGGUUGAAGAAUCUUUGUGGUUUUAAGAAGUUUGGGGUUUAGUUUUUGGUUUUUCAAGUCCUAAAUCUUGUCUACGUGAAAAGGGGGUUCAACGGGGGAAGUUUUGAACUCUCCGACCACCGCGUACGGUGGCGACGUCGCCCGUGGUCGGCGGUCAGCAUGACGGCCGGUAACCGGAGCCCAUGGCCGAACAUGGGCUGAAAGAGAAGGGAAGGGUGAUUUUUGUUUUUUUUGGAAGAAGGAGUUUUGUAAACUAAAUGAUGAACCUACAGAUUGAAAAGGAAGGAAAUUUUUUUUGUUUUAAAUCAUUCCAAAUGACGUCGUUUGGGAGGGUGGGGUCUGUGCACUUUCCCUAAAAGGGAAAUUUAUGCGUUUAGUCCUCCUCUUUCGCAACCUCGUUCAAUUAACCCCCAUUUUCUAUCUUCUUUUGUUUUUUUUUAAAUUUGGCCCUCAGAUCUUGUUUGGUUUUUGUUUUGAUCCCUAAUUAACUAUCCAAUAUUUAUACUUUUAUACCCCGAAUUGUAAUUUGUUUUUGGAAAUAUCCUAAAUCUAUUUAAUUCAUUUAUUACCCUUUUUAAUGUUUCAUUUAUAUGUUAUGUCAAACAUUUUAUAUGUUGUUUAUUUACAUCUAUUCUAACUUAUUUUAAUGUACUAUUUAUUCAAAUUCUUAUUAUUUAUUUUAACUAACUUUAUGUAUAUAUGUCACUUUAAUCUAUUUUAUAUGUAUUAUUUAUUUCUUUAUUCCUUACCUAUUAUAUAUAUGUAUACAUAUAGUUUAUUUCAAGCUUUUUUAUAUAUUUAUAAUUCUUUAAAAAUUGUUAUAUAUUUAUUUCAAAUUAUUUUAUAUUUUAAGUUAUUGUAUAUUAUGUAUUUCGAAUAACUCUCUUUAUAUUACCUUUGAACUAUUAACAUUAUAAAAUAUAUUUAUAUGGUCUAUUUUUAAUUCUUUUACGUAUUAUAUAUUUUAAACUUCUUAUUUAUUACUUUUAAAUUAAAUUUAUAUUAUUUAUUUUAAAAUUAUUUUAUAUACCUUAUUUUAGACCCAUUCUACUUAUUCCAUAUUUUACACUUUUAUUUGUAUAUAUAUUAUCUAUUUUAAAAUUAUUCAUAUAAAUUUUUUUAUUUGCUUUGUAUAAUAUAGAUUUUAAAAUUCUUCUACAUUAUUUAAUUUAAACUCGCUUUAUGUAUUAUUCAUUUGAAAUUGUUUAUUUAUUUACUUUAAAAUUUAUAUAUAUAUAUAUAUAUAUUAUCAAAUUUUAAAUUAUUAUAUCCAUUUUUCAUAUAUAUAUACAUACUAGUUAUUUCUUUGAUGUCUCGUAUAUUAACUAUUUUAAAAAUCUCUUUUACACAUACUCUAUUUUUUUAAUUUAUUUUGUACAUUGUUUAUAGUAAAUUUCUUUUUCACGCUAUUCAUUUUAAAUUCGUUUGUUAUUAUUCGUAAAUUUGUUUACAUUUUAUGCAUUUAAGUUUGCCUUAUAUCUUUUUCCAUUUAACCCAUUGGCUUUUUAGUUAUCGACGCUAUUAUUUGAAUGUUGCAUGAUUAUUGCUAUUGCAUGUAUGUAAAUUUGCUUACUUACGUUCAUAUUAUUGCCAUGCGCUUGUGGAAUAUUUUGUGCGCGGAUCAUUGUUCUAUGUCGUACCAUAUUUUAUUUCAUAUCUUUGCCUCGCGAAAUAAACCUCAAUGUAUUUAUCCAAUAAAUCACCUUAUUUUAACCUAAAUAAAUAACACAUGUUGCUUGAAUAUUGCAUUCGCUACUGUUCAAAAGUAAAAUUUUCCAAUAAGGCAAUGUCAUGCAUUUUGAAAUAUGGAGGAAUUGUGCCCUAACUUACGGGGUUUCGAUUCUCUCAUUGUUUCUAAAUAGCAAAAUAUCCUUUUCAAGUUUUAAAACACAUGAAAUUCUCAUUCAAAUUAGGGGACAACUUUGUGCUCGGGAAUUCAUGGUAUUGUGUCCUAACUUACGGGAUGUGAUACUCUGAUAUCUCGAGAUAAGGAAAUCUCUAAAUAAUCGAUUCAAGCUAACUCAAGCAUUUUUAAAAUCGACGUCAAUAAAAAAGAUUGUAUUUUAAAAUCCAUUCCCGAUUUUCAACUUUCGACAUUAAGACAUUAACUAAUCAAUUCGGUACCAAUUUUUGGGCGUGUCGAGGGUGCUAAUCCUUCCUCGUACGUAACCGACUCCCGAACCCAUUCUCUCAAGUUUCGUAGACCAAAGGCACUGUUUUAGUAAACUAAAAUUGAUUUAUUAAAACAAAGGUGAUCCGAUCACACCUAAUAAAGAUCGGUGGCGACUCCCGUUUUAAUUUUCGCUUUCAAACCAAGUCGAUUCCCGUUUUCAAAAAAUGGUUUCGACAGCUUGGCGACUCCACUGGGGACUUCGAGAGUCAAGCCUUAAAUUGGUUAAUUUUUGUCUUUUUUCGAAAAUUGAAAAUUGGUUUUAAAUUAUCUGCAUUGCAUAUUGUUUAUUAUUUUCGUGGCCUUCUUCAUAAUAUGCUUGCUUUAAGUAGUUUAGUUCUAUGAUGUAUCUUUGCAUAUUGCAUCGCAUUAUUGGUCAAUUUCACCCUCUUAAGUGGAAGUGAGAAACUACUCCUUCGUGAGGUCUUCACCUCCGUAUAGGAUAGUGGAUCGCUUUCGGGAUACAUCCGUACCUGCGUCUUCGUGAGGUUUUCAUCUCCGUAUAGCCGUAGGGAAAUGUAUUCCCCUGAAUCGAACUCAGUCCGUAUGAGCCUAUAAUGGGCGAGGGUCGAGGAAUCUGCUGGUUCAGGUACCUUUACCUUAGAAUCGAACUACAUGUAAUGAAGCCUAGGAGCCUACCCUAGGUAGAACCACACCGAACCCUAGUGGUUACCCUAUUAGGCAUUUAUUUACUCCUUAUUUGUUUUGAAUUCUAUUCUUUGUAUAUAGUACUAACUUGUUGUGUUUUGAUUGUUUUCGCAUGGCAUCUCAUCAUAAAAGGGUGUUGAUUUACGUUCGGUUACUAAAUAGAAGAGUUUAGCAUGGAAAAAUGAUUUCUUGAUAGAGUGGAGGAUAAUGCGGCCGUCCGAGUGUGGUCUGAGAGAACGCAACAAGAGAAAGGAGAUAGUUUGACCGAGGGAUAUGAAUUGGAGUUGUGGGAUUUCACUCGCAUCAGUGUGACUCAAAAUGACCUGCAAGAGUUAAAGGAUAUAUGGAAUAGUUGGAAUGGCGAAUUCAAGCAACUCUUUUACUGUAACUACGGCGAUUUACCCUAUUUGCUCGAUGUAAAGGUGGACAAGUACUUAUUCCGGGCUCUCGCGUAGUUUUGGAACCCAGCUUACAGUUGCUUCACCUUCAGAGAAGUUGAUUUAGUACCUACUGUGGAGGAAUACAUUGCGCUACUUAAUUGCCCGAAGAUUCAGGCUGAUAGGGCCUAUUCAAGACCUGUCAACAUCCCUCCCUUUUUGAAGAAGUUGAUGAAUGUAACGGGGAUGAGCGAGCAAUGGGUUGUAGCCCGCAUCAAGCAAAAAUGGGAUAGUAAGUGUAUUCCUUGAAGGAAUUUGAGGGACUUGAUUCUUACGCACCCAGAUUCGAAGAAAAGGGUUGAUGUUUUUGCCUUAAGCAUCUACGGUUUGAUCAUCUUUCCCAAGGCGCUAGGACACAUAGAUGAAGCGGUCUAAGAUCUAUUCGAUCAGCUUGAUAAAUGUACUACACCUGUCCCAGCAAUACUAGCAGAAACUUUCAGAUCCUUGAAUGCAUGCUGGAGAGCGGGCGAGGGAAGAUUUAUUGGUUGUGCUCAGCUUAUUUUGGCUUGGUUCCAUAGCCAUUUCUGGAGGGUGGAGAAGGUCUCUUAUCGGGUUUUCUCUAAGGAUUAUUCCCCAUUAAGGAAAUUCGUGGCCAUACCGAGGUGGGACGACAUCUCAGAAGAGAAAUGGAUAACUAUUCUCCAGAAUUUACGGGCUGAAUACGUUGAAUGGAGAGCUCCGUGGUUGAUUCCUGACGAGAUCUUAUAUAGAUACGGUGAUUUUGACUGGGUCCCUCUGGCCGGGAUAUGGGGAGCCGUUGGAUACGCUCCACUGAUAGUGUUAAGGCAAUAUCGAUCAAGGCAAUUUAUACCAGUGACACAGGGUUUGGCACAAUGUGAGUUCUCCUAUAAAGACAAUAAUUAUAAGAAGAGGGUUCGCGAGGUGUUAGAUGCAUGGAACCAAGCUCGAAGAAUGAAAGGAUUUACCACAGGCCCGAUGACCACCUCCGGGUAUGAAUGGUGGUGAGGUAGGAGAGUCAACGACAACAUCCCUAGGCUGAAUCAAGGAAAUACUCAACCGAUAGAGGAGCAUUUACGAGUUAUCCCAUCCGAGUUAGAGAUCAUUAAACAAGACUUUGAGAAAAAGAACUCAGAGUUGGGGAAGAAGAUAGAGCAGCUAGAAGAAGAGAAAAUGAAAUUGGGAUUAGACGUCGAUGUCCACAAGCUAGAGGCUGAGAAGUUAAGGAAAGGAAAGAACAAGGCCGAGGAAGGUUUGGAUAGUUUGAAAACCGAUUACAAGAAGCUGCGUAUGUCAAUAAGAACUGCCGGUUUAGGUAAAACGUCAGAGCAAUGGCGUCAAGAGAUCAAAGUGGAAAAGACUAGAGCCGACCAUUGGGAGAAAAGGUUUCAAGAUGCCCGAAUACGAGAGGACACUCUGAAAAAGAGUUUGUUAGAAACCCAAAACGAAAAGGAGAAGUUACGUGCUCGGGUGGUUGAAUUGGAAAAAUCACUUCAUCAACAUCGUAACUGUAAUUCAGUAAUUGAGCUGAAAGCUAGUCUGAGCAGGAUCGAAAAGUUGAAAGGGAAAGUAGAAGAACUCGAGACUGCACUACGAGAUAGUAAAAUUCGAGUGGAACUGCUUGAGGCAAACAACGACCAUUGCAGGGAACAGCUUCACCACUCUCAGAACCAGAUUAGAGAUAAAGAUUAUGUCAUGGGCGAAGCUGUGGCUCAGGUUCGAGAGGUAGCCGAUCACUUGCAAACCUUGGCAGUCCAAGCUGAUGUAUUAAGCUUAAAGUACGAGUCAGAAUCAGAUCGAGGCCGAAAACUAGCUUGGCUCCUUAGAAAAAUUAAGGCUUUGGGCAUUAGGGCAAAGUCGUAUAUGUAAUCAUCCGUUCUAUGUAAAGAAAUUUUUCUUCUAAUGAAAUUGAAUUGGAAUCAACGCCUCUUUUUUUUUGCAUUCAUUCAUUUGUAUUACAUUUCAUCAUGUGUAUUAAAUUUCGCGAAAAGACCCUGAUUAAACAAAAUUAUUUCAAUUAAUCUGGAAACCAACGAGAAUCAACCAACCGAACACAGCUACUAUACCGCCGUAAAACCAAAGUAAUGAAUCAUAGAUUAGAGAGAAUAGAACAAAUGCAAAGGGAAAUGCAAGAGCAAUUACAAGCACAAGUGCAAGAGCAACUGGCUAAGAUACAACAAGAUAUGAAGGAAACAAUGGAAGAAUCCCAAAAUAAUCUGAUAGGCCAGUUGGCGCAGUUGCUGGCUAGAGAACGCGAGAAAGGGAAGAGCACCAUGGGGAACAAUAAUGAAGACCCUAUCUAUCCUCCAGGCUUUGCUCCGAUAAACACCCAACCACAAUCAGAGGUGCAUCCACGAACGGUAUCCGUCACUAUUAAGCCCCAGCAAUACCAGGCCAAUACCUCGACACCAAUAAACAUUCCUAUAGGAUCAGGCUCUAAUCCUGGGAUAAUCCAGCUAAUCCAUUUGUCCCGAACCUUGAUGACAUGGCAGAAAUAGAGAAAGGAAAAGUAGAUGUGGCAAAACAACUCGAUAAUCGGUGCAAAUGGCUUGAGGAAAAAUUCAAAGCAAUGGAAGCUGUUGAUUACUGUGGCGGGAUCGAUGCUAAGGACUUAAGCUUGGUCUCAGAUCUGGUGCUCCCACCAAAAUUUAAAACCCCGGAGUUCGAAAAGUAUAACGAGACGAGCUGCCCUGAAACUCAUAUUACAAUGUUCUGUCGAAGGAUGACAGGGUAUGUUAACAAUGAUCAGUUGUUGAUCCACUGUUUCCAGGACAGUCUGAUCGGAUCUGCGGCCAAGUGGUAUAACCAGCUCAGCCGUACCCAAAUUGGUUCGUGGAAGGACUUGGCUCAAGCUUUCAUGAAACAAUACGGUCACGUGACGGAUAUAGCACCUGACAGAAUUACCUUACAAAACAUAGAAAAGAAGCCGAGUGAAACCUUCAAACAGUAUGCACAACGGUGGAGGGAAAUAGUGAUGCAAGUCCAGCCACCCCUCUUGGAGAAGGAAACGACCAUGCUAUUUAUCAACACUCUAAAGGCCCCAUUCAUUAACCACAUGUUAGGAAGUACUACUAAAAGCUUCUCGGAUAUAGUAGUGUCCGGGGAGAUGAUAGAAAACGCAGUAAGAUGUGGGAAGAUUGAAGCAGGGGAAAAUGCCAAGAGAACGGCUCUAAGAAGGAAAGAAAACGAGGUGAACAAUGUGAGUGCAUAUCAUAAGGGUUAUUCCAAGCCGAUCACAGUAAACCAGCUGAGGGCAGUGACUACUAGCCAUCAGGGCGCCGCGAGUCAAGAUUCCAACCCAAGGCCUAACACGGAAAGAGUCCAGUUCACGCCAAUCCCAAUGACGUAUAGGGAGCUUUACCAGAACCUGUUCGAUGCGCAUGUAGUGUCUCCCUUUUACUUAAAACCCAUGCAACCUCCAUUCCCAAAGUGGUAUGAUGCAAACGCGCCAUGAGAAUACCAUGCAGGAAUUACAGAGCACACAAUUGAGAACUGCGUGGCCUUCAAAAAAUUAGUCGAAAGGUUCAUAAAUAUGGGCAUUGUGAAGUUCGAUGAUCCCACAAAACCUAAUGUGGCGGGAAACCCGUUACCCAGUCAUUCAGACAAUGGGGUAAACGCGAUAAGCGAAAGUAGAGGAAUGAGAACUAAGAUGGACGUAUCGGAGGUAAAUACCCCAUUGAGAUGGGUUUGGAAGAAAAUGGUGGAAGAAGGUUUACUUAUACAAGGUUUAGAGGAGAAGCUUGAAGGAGGGAAGUACUAUUGUGAAUUCCACGACGAGGAAGGGCAUAAAAUCCAAAAGUGCAAUGAAUUCAGGGCUCUAGUACAGAGAUUGAUAGAAAAUAAAGAGAUCGAAUUCUUUGAGUACACCGAGGGCCCGAAGGGAGAAGAUGUGUGCACGUCAGAGCAAGGGCCGACCAACAAUGUCCGAGGGGUCAACCAUCCGGUCGUAAUUAUAUCCCGACCAAGAGUCAAUGAAGUCGGAGUACCAAUUGCGUCAAAGGUCAUAAUUCAAAAGCCCGUUACUUUCCCUUAUAAGGAUAGCAAAAGGGUUCUUUGGAAUUACGACUGCAACGUAACGAUCCCGGGAGGAGAGAAUCCAGUUGGCACUUCGGAUAAAGGUCAAGACGAGGGUUUCUAUACACGCAGCGGAAGGCGUUAUACUCCGAACACAAAGGCAGAAUCAGCUAAAGGAAAAUCUGUGGUCAUUGAACAAGAAAAGGAAAAGACGACCAGACCUGAAUCACCCGUCAAUGAGCCUGUAACUGAAAAAGAGGCUAAAGAAUUCUUAAAAUUCUUAAAAUUCUUAAAACACAGCGAGUACAGUGUUGUGGAGCAAUUGCACAAACAACCAGCUCACAUAUCCAUACUAGCCUUGCUCUUGAGUUCAGAAACUCACCGAAGUGCAUUGAUGAAGGUUUUAAAUGAAACAUAUGUUGCGGAUGACAUCUCUGUCAACAAACUCGAUCGUCUGGUCAAUAACAUCAGCACGGAUAAUUUUAUUUUCUUUAAUGAUGAUGAAAUACCACCGGGAGGCAUGGGAUCUACAAAGGCGCUACACAUUACCACUCACUGCAAAAGAUACACAUUGCCGGGGGUAUUGAUUGAUAAUGGAUCGGCAUUGAAUGUCAUGCCCUUGUCCACGUUAAAUAAGUUGCCAGUGGAUAACUCUCACAUGAAGACAUGUCAAAACGUCGUGAAAGCAUUCAACGGUACGGAAAGAAAAGUGAUGGGAAGGAUCGAGAUACCUCUCUUGAUUGGCCCAAAUACAUACGAUGUGGACUUCUUGGUAAUGGACAUCAAGCCAUCGUACAAUUGCCUGUUGGGGAGACCGUGGAUUCACUCGGCGGGGGCAGUGUCGUCAUCCCUACACCAAAAGUUAAAGUUCGUAACUGAGGGCAGGUUGGUAACGAUAAACGCGGAGGAAGAUAUUAUUGCAUCCGUCACCAAUGACGUACCGUACGUAGGUGCGGACGAUGGGGCGAUAGAAUGUUCCUUUCGGUCGCUAGAAUUCGUCAAUGCUACAUUCAUUGUCGAAGGAAACAAGAUCACAAUGCCCAAAAUAUCCAAAGCUACGAGGAUGGGCCUGCGAUUGACGGUCGGUAAAGGAGCCCUACCGGGAAAAUGACUUGGAAGGUGCCUCCAAGAAAGGAGCAAGAUACCAAUGCUAAAAGAAAAACGAGAUCGUUUUGGCUUAGAAUUCAAGCCAGACCCGAAGCAAAAGAAGAAGGAGCUGAAAAAAAGGCAAGAGAUGAGAAGAGCACGUCUGUGCGCUGAGGAGGUCAAAUGGGAACCAAUGACCUUCCCUCAUUUAUCCCGAACGUUCGUGUCCGGAGGAACUAUCCAUCCAAAACAAGAGAUGACAAUGCCGAAAGUGGCAGAAGAGAUGUUGGGAAGUUGGAGCAUUAACGCCAUAUCUGAAGAAAAAGCUGAAGAAUGAGAUUUAUCUGGAAUUUGCCCUUACAUUCCUAGAAGUGUUUUGAACAAUUGGACCGUGGAGGAGAUCCCUGUAACUUUUAGAAUUAAUUCAGAGUAAUGUUCAAAACAAACUUAUUGCUCUAUGCCUAGGGGCAAUAAGAACCCUUUUAUGAAAUAGGCAUAUGUCCAAAUAUCGUCAUUUCAAUAAAAAUGCAUUCUUGCGUAUCAUAUUGAGCAAAUAUUCUUUUAUUUUUCUACUUCAUUCAUAAUCAUACUACAAAUCAAAUAUUCUUAGUUUCUUUUGUUCUUUGGAUUUCUUUCUUCAUCCAUAACAAGUCUCUAGAUAUCAAUGAUGUGAGCAACGUUGCCAAUGACCCAGAGAUUCCUUUCGAGCAAGAUUUGUGUAUGGAGGACACUGAGAAUUUUGAGGAUGACCGAAAUUGCAGCCUUUCUCCUGAUUUGUUAAUGAUGGUAGAUCAAGAGGAGAAACAAAUCCUACCUCAUAAGGAGUCAGUGGAAAUUGUUAGCUUAGGAGAAGGAAAAGAGGUGAAAAUUAGAGCUAGUAUCGCUGCAGAAACAAAGCAAAACCUCAUCGAGUUACUCCGAAAAUUCAAGGAUGUCUUCGCAUGGUCAUAUCAAGACAUGCCCGGAUUGAAUACUGAUAUCGUGGUACAUCGACUCCCCAUAAAGGAAGAAUGCAGGCCAGUACAACAGAAACUCCGAAGGAUGAGACCUGAUGUUUUGUUAAAGAUAAAGGAAGAGGUCAAAAAGCAAUUCGACGCCAGUUUCUUACAAGUGGUCAAGUACUCAUAAUGAGUAGCCAACAUAGUCCUAGUUUCUAAGAAAUAUGGGAAGGUACGGAUGUGCGUGGACUAUAGGGACCUGAAUAAAGCCAGCCCCAAAGAUAAUUUUCCAUUGCCUCACAUUGAUACACUAGUGGACAACACGGCAGGUUACUCACUUUUCUCCUUCAUGGACGGCUUCUCAGGAUAUAACCAGAUAAAAAUGCAUCUUGAAGACAUGGAAAAGACAACAUCUGUAACCAUGUGGGGAACGUUUUGUUAUAUAGUGAAAGAACGCAGGAGCAACAUAUCAGAGAGCCAUGGUAACUUUGUUCCAUGACAUGAUGCACAAGGAGAUCGAAGUUUACGUUGACGACAUGAUUGCAAAAUCCAAAACCGAAAAGGAGCAUGUGCAAGUCCUGAGGAAACUAUUCUUGAGAUUAAGAAAGUUCCAACUAAAGCUCAAUCCCGCAAAGUGCACCUUCGGGGCUAGGUCAGGAAAAUUGUUGAGGUUUGUAGUCAGUGAAAGGGGAAUCGAGAUUGACCCAGAUAAAGUUAAGGCUAUACAAGAAUUACCCCCGCCACGCACUCAAAAAGAAGUUCGAGGUUUCCUAGAAAGAUAAUCCAGGUGUUUAGGAUGAGGAGUGCGAGAAAACUUUCGAUAAAAUCAAACAUUAUUUGUCCAGUGCCCCAGUACUGAUGCCACUUUGCCCGGAUAAACCACUGAUACUGUACUUGACAGUGUUUGAAAACUCCAUGGGAUACGUGUUGGGCCAACAUGAUGAGUCAGGAAGAAAAGAGAAAGCGAUAUACUAUCUCAGCAAGAAAUUCACCGAAUGUGAGACAAGAUAUUCGUCGAUCGAGAAGUUGUGUUGUGCUUUAAUUUGGACAACCCGAAGACUGAGACAAUACAUGUUGUACUACACAACUUGGCUUAUCUCGAAACUAGAUCCUUUGAAGUAUGUGAUGGAGUCAAAUGCUUUGAACGGAAGAAUGGCUCAUUGGAAAAUUCUGCUUUCUGAGUUUGACAUAGUCUACGUGAACCAAAAGGCUGUAAAGGAGAGUGCAAUAGCUGAUUUUUUGGCCAGUAGAGCUUUAGAAGAUUAUGAACCAUUGAGCUUUGACUUCCCGAAUGAAGACCUAAUGUACGUUGUGACCACGGAAGAAGACUCUCAAGAAGGUCACCUAUGGAAAUUGAAUUUUGACGGAGCUUCAAAUGCUGUGGGUAACGGAAUCGGGGCAGUCUUGGUAUCCCCAAACGGAGAUCAUUAUCCUUUCACCAGCAAACUGGAUUUUGAUUGCACAAACAAUAUAGCCGAAUACGAAGCAUGUAUCAUGGGAAUUCGUGCAGUAAUAGAACGUAAGAUUAAAGUGCUAGAGGUAUAUGGGGAUUCUGCAUUAGUGAUCUAUCAGCUUAAAGGGGAAUGGGAGACAAGAGACCCUAAGCUGAUCAAUUAUCGAAGGCUGGUUCUUGAGUUAAUCGAGGAGUUUGACAAUAUCACUUUCUGCUACCUUCCACGAGAUGAAAACCAGAUGGCUGAUGUUUUGGCAACCUUAGCUUCUAUGAUCAAAGUGAAUAAACAAGAGGAUAUGAAGCCUAUCCAAAUGAGUAUUUAUAAGGCUCCGGCUCAUUGCUGCAAUAUUGAAGAGGAAGAAGAGAAAGAUGAUCAUCCUUGGUACCAGGGUAUUUUACGAUAUAUGAAGAGUCGUGAAUACCCAAACCAAGCGACUGAGAAUGAUAAAAGGACACUAAGAAGGCUGCUAGUGACUAUGUCUUGGAUGGAGAGAUCCUAUACAAGAGAAUGAAGGAUCAGGUACUUUUAAGAUGUGUAGACGCUGUCGAGGCUAAGCAAAUCCUGGAAGAGGUUCAUGAGGGUGUCUGCGGAACACACGCUAAUGGUUUCACCAUGGCCAGACAGAUUAUAAGAUUCGGAUAUUAUUGGUCCACCAUGGAAGGAGAUUGCAUCAACUAUGCCAAGAAAUGCCAUAAAUGUCAAAUUUAUGGAGAUAAAAUGCAUGUACCUCCUUCACCCCUUCAUGUCAUGACUUCUCCAUGGCCUUUCUCCAUGUGGGGCAUGGAUGUCAUUGGGCCGAUCUCACCAAAGGCAUCUAAUGGACACCGAUUCAUCUUUGUGGUCAUAGAUUACUUCACCAAGUGGGUAGAGGCUACUUCUUACGCCAACGUCACAAAGUCGGCAAUUAGUAAGUUCUUAAAGAAAGAGAUUAUAUGUCGAUAUGGGAUGCCUGAAAGAAUCAUAUCCGAUAAUGCAUUAAACUUGAACAACAGCACGAUAGCGGAAGUCUGUAGCUAUUUCAAGAUCAAACAUCAUAACUCGUCACCGUAACGCCCAAAGAUGAAUGGUGCAGUCGAAGCAGCCAAUAAGAACAUCAAGAAGAUCAUAGGAAAAAUGACUGAGACCUAUAAAGAUUGGCACGAGAAAUUACCAUUUGCCCUAUACACCUACCAAACGUCAGUCAGAACCUCUACCGGGGCGACAUCUUUUUCUUUAGUUUAUGGAAUGGAAGCGGUUCUGCCUAUUGAGAUCGAGAUUCCCUCUCUACGCGUACUUUCAGAACUAAAAUUAGAUGAAGCAGAAUGGAUCCAGUCUCGAUACGACCAGUUGAACUUGAUUGAAGAAAAGAGGCUAAAGGCUAUCCGUCAUGGUCAAAUGUAUCAAAAGAGAAUGAUGCGGGCUUAUAAUAAGAAGGUUCGCCCUAGAGAAUUCCAUGAAGGAGACCUUGUAUUGAAAAAGAUCCUCCCCAUACAAAAGGACUUCAGAGGGAAAUGGAUGCCGAAUUGGGAAUGACCUUAUAUGGUAAAGAAGGCUUUCUCUGGAGGGGCUCUGAUUUUGACCGAGAUGGAUGGUAAGAGCCUGCCUAAUCCUAUUAAUUCGAAUUCAGUCAAGAGGUAUUUUACCUAAAAAAAAAAAGGGGAGAGGCCAAGGUGAAAACCUGUGAAAGGGCGCUUUGAGACCAAAGGGGUUUGAAUUGAAAACCCAGGAAUGGUCAAUUCAAAUUUUGAUCGAACAUGGGCAUGCGGCAAUUUUGCCUUCUCUGAAUUAACAGGAGGGAGGGAUGCUACAUAUUGGGGCAUCAACAAAGCACUCUUGGUCCUCCAAACACAUACCGACUUCAAAAGCCCUCGAGAAGUUUGUGCAACGAAGCUCAUACUGCGAUAUCUGGGGCACCUAUUCUUAUCUUAUUCAUUCUGUUUAGCAGAAUGCGCCACCGUAAUUAAUUCGUAGGUUCACAUUUUGUACUUUAGCAAAUGUGCUAUCUUAAUUACCUUGCUCAUCUUGAGCUUCGCUCACAAUAAAAUUCCAUCUUGCCUAUUGCGAUAAUCUUUUUCAAGCGUCUUUCAUUAAGUUGAUGAUUAAUGGACUAAUAAUAUUCAAAAAGAGUUCUGCAUAUUACUCUAAAAUACUUCUAAAUGAUACGAGGAUCCGAAACGGGGCUAAUUAGUUUGAAUCACCCUACGUUCAAAGGUUGGAAAUAUUGGGGAAAGAAUGGCCCAAAUUUUGAUUAUUUCUUCAAAUUUUCUGCCGAAGAUAUCAGUUGAAGAAAACAUAGAGUAGUACAUUUACGAUAAAACCUCGAUGAACAACGAGUAAUAUCAAAAUAAGCAUUAAAAAAUGACAUUUUUGCAUUCAUACAAGUAUCAUUCAUACACAUUUAGUUAGGAGCACUUGAUUCAUUUUGAUCAUAGCAUCCUAAUUAUUUGACGUAAGCAUAGAUACAUAAAACUGAUUCUACAGAUCAUGUCCCUGGAGGAUGGUGUAGCAACAUCGGUAAUUUUACAGAUCAUGUCUCCCUGAAGUUACAGUGGAAUAGAUUGAAAAUGGUAAAUUUUGUCUCUCUGAAGUUGCUGUAGAGCAGAUUUAAGCCACCAUCCUGUCCCCCUAAGCAGUAGGGUAAUAGGUUAAAUUUCCAGAUCUUAACCCCCUAAGCAGUAGGGAAACAGAUCGAAGACGAAGGGUCUUAAACCCUAAGAGGUAGGGUAACAGACCAAAUUGCAAAUUUUGCCUCCCUGAAGUUGUAGUGGAGCAGAUCAAAGAAGAAGGGCCUUAAACCCCUAAACAGUAGGGUAACAGGCUGAAAAUUUAUAGAUCUUAUCACCCUAAGCAGUAGGGAAAUAGAUCGAAGACGACGAGCCUUAACCCCUUAAGCAAUAAGGUAACAGGCUAGAAAUUGUAGACCCUAUCUCCCUAAGCAGUAGUGGAGUAGGCUGAAGAGUGUACAUCUUGUUUCCCUGAAGUUGCAGCAGAACAGUUGGAAGUCACAAACCUCAUCUCCCUGAAGAUGUAGUGGAGCAGGUUAAAAUUACCAAAUUUUAUCCCUUUGAAGUACCAGCAAAGUAGAUUGAAGCUACAAAUCUCUUCUCUCUGAAAUUGCAUUUGAGCAAAUCGUAGCACUGGUUCCUAUAUCCCUGAGGAUGCAGUGGGAUGAAAUGAGGCUACUCGAAGAAAAGAAGCUCCAAAGAAGUUAAGAUUCAGUAAGACUAAGCAAAAUUGGCUCUUCUAAGAUCUUUGCUCUAUUCUCGUUACACGACAAUGAGCAAAGAGGGGCAGCUGUUAUAGCCAAUUUUAGCCUGGCCAACAAGAAAUAAAAACCCAAAUUAAUUCCAAAAUAUAAAAGUCCCAAAACAAAGUCCAUUUUACAAAAAAAGAAAAGAAAAGAAAAACAGCAGGCCCAAUUUCCUUCAGCCACCAACCUUCUCACGCGCGCCACCACUGCUCGGGGCGCCAAUCACCGGCCUUCCACGCCUCUGACACUCCCAUGACCUACAAACAUUUGGAAAAGAGGAAAAUGGCAGCAAGAAGCACAAGCAGUAGCAGAGAAUAAAAUAAUAAUAUGUUAAUAUGGGAAUCGGCUAUAAAGCCGAAAUGAAACUGAUUGUAACGGGGAGGGGGAAGAAUCGAAUGUAAAGGAGGACUUUUGAAAGAGAGAAAAAUCAAAAAGAAAUGGUUAUGAACACAGAGAUUAAUCAAAAAAACGUUUUCAAAAGGUUUCAUUUUUUUUCAUUCCUAUCUUUAUCAUUUAUUUUAUGUAUUUAUUUCGAAUCUAUAUACAAAUAUAUAAAAAGGAAAGAUUUUUACCCGUAUUUGGCGUUGGUACCCUGGGCAUACGCUUCUCUAGUCCGAAAGCCGGCGGAUCUCUAGAGAUCCGGUUAAAACUUCGACGGAGGAAGCCAAAGGUUGAAGAAUCUUUGUGGUUUUAAGAAGUUCGGGGUUUAGUUUUUGGUUUUUCAAGUCCUAAAUCUUGUCUACGUGAAAAGGGGGUUCAACGGGGGAAGUUUUGAACUAUCCGACCACCGCGUACGGUGGCUCCAUCGCCGGUGGUCGACGGUCAGCAUGAUGGCCGGUAACCCGAGCCCAUGGCCGGACAUGGGGCUGAAAGAGAAGGGAAGGGUGAUUUUUGUUUUUUUUGGAAGAAGGAGUUUUGUAAACUAAAUGAUGAACCUACAGAUUGAAAAGGAAGGAAAUUUUUUUGUUUU